Homo sapiens (human) is the source of this 54397-nucleotide long non-coding RNA. RefSeq lists it as uncharacterized. The transcript has 2 exons. The record is from RefSeq and is a predicted model, not a curated record. NCBI's taxonomy places the organism in Eukaryota, Metazoa, Chordata, Mammalia, Primates, Hominidae.
AUGAACUUUGCCAGUUUUAAAGCACUGGUUCAAAGUUUUCUUUUUUUUAAAAAAAGGGUGAACCAAACAAAACACAUCUGGGAGCCAUAUUUGGUCCUCAGAUGACAAGCUUGCAAUGCCUUGUUUAUAUAUUUGUCUCUCACUUGGUUUCUCUCAUACUUCAUCUCUCCAAAAGCAGUAAUUGCAUUACUCUUUCUGUAUUCUCAGGGCCCAGGAUACUGACCAACUCACAAAAAGGGUCAGGAAAUGUGUGUUGAAAUGAAUAGUACAUUUUGGAAGUGGUCUACUUUGGCAUUAUAGUCCAUGUAGGUUUAUUUGAGGCCCAGCUGGUGACAGCUUUCCAAUUCAAGUUAUGAAGAGCUGGGGAGAGAGCAUAUUUUGACAGCUGAUCAUAAUUCUUGGAAUAUUUUGUCCCAGGGCCCUGGUCUGCCGGGUCUUAGAACUGGGUGCAAAGUCACAUCUUGAAAUUGAUGUUCACGUGAAUUUGAGUUCUUAGUACAGGAAUAGAAUCUAUUCUCUGCCCUGAAGUGAUUUGAUUGUGAAAUGUGUAGCUUUACCAACAAGAACGAAUGAAGUUUAUGUAUACCAUUUAGGGAGGUUUUAAAUUUGGCAGGAAAGUUCCUAAUAAUACAACUUGUUUGGACUUUUCUAUAGAUAAAUUGGGACCCUAACCUUUACCCCAGGAGUGGACAGUGUCAGAACAUGAUUAACCUCUAAGACCGGUAGUCAUCUGUUUUUCAGUGCCAGCAUUACAUGGUAGAAUUUUGUUUUUUGUUUUUUGCAAACCAGUGUAGCCCUUCUUGCUUUCCUGCCUGCAUAAUGGAUUGUUCUGCAUUGCAUAAUUCAUGUCGGGCACCAGGUUUGCUGCACUAGGAUGAGGAAAGGGAUUCAGGUAAUUCAGAUGAGAAAUUUAGUCAGUGCAGUUUUUUUUCUAUCAAGGAGCCAAGAAAGGUCCUCUAUUAAAUUAAAACUAUAAAAUUGUCAGCAAAAGUCCAAUGCAGGGUUAAAAUCUUACUUGGUUUGGACUUGUACUGUGUGUCUUUUCUCUCCUUCUCUAGUCCCCUUUCCCCCUCCAUUUCCAUAUCAGAAUGGAACAUUCCAAUAGACUGUCUAGGAAUUCAAAUUUUAGAUAGGAUAUUCUAUAUGUAAUCCAGAACUUCUGAUGUGAGAUGCAACUUAGGAGAGUUUUCAAGUUUAGACUACUGUAUGCCCCGAUCCACUUCCUUCAUUGUGGUCACUGCUUUUGGAGCACCCAGAAGUCCCCUAGCUUGGCGUGAAGUUUGACUUCUUUCUGCUACUAUAAAAUGCUCAAGGAUAAUGUGGCACAAAAAGCUUAUAUUUCAUGGUGUUUCAGGCUGGGCGAUCCCAGGUUAAAUUUCUGUGCUUUCGUCUUUGUUAAAGAGUUUAGCCAUGUCACAGUGCAAAUGCACAGUUAAGUUCCUCCACAGUGUAUAUGAAACCUGUUUUAUUUCAGUUAGGAUUAGCAGAGCACUCUAGCUGACCCUAAGUGAACUCUAGGUACAUAUGUGAUAAAUGCAUAUUGCUAUAUGCCACUGAGGUUUCGUGAUUGUUAAUUAUAUGGCAUUAUAAUGGCAAUAGGUAACAGAGACAAUGAGAUUCCAUGUUCGAAUGGCUGACACGUGUCCAAAAGCUAUGGGUUAAUUUGGGACUUUGAAUCUUGAGUUUAGGCAAAGAUGGAAAAAAAUCCCCAGUAAUUGUUCAUUCCAGUGUAAGGACAGCAGAUGAGACUGUUGUUUCGGAUACCUACAUCCAAGGAAAUGUCCUGGCUUCUGCCUAUUUGAAUCUAUGAGCCACAUUUAUUAACCCUAUAAAUUUAUUUUUCUUUUAAAAUUAAAAAGAGAAAACUUUUGAAGACACAAAGUGUUAUCUCAAUAUUGAUAUAUUAUACAUGUGUCAUUAUUUAUAAGAGAAAAAUCGGGAAAAUAGGAUGCCCAGCAAAGGAAAAAUUCAUGUAGCUGUUGCCUAGGUAUGUCUCUUCAACUCCGUGGGAAAAUACUGCCAUAGGGAAGAAAGGCCCUGGCUUUCUUAAGCAAUGUGAAUUUGUUUCUGCGACAUUUUAGCUAAAAAUGUAAGCUCAAGAUAUUCUGUGUGAAAUAAAUUAUCCCAAAGAAAGAUAAUUGUGAGAAGAAGCCAUUAAUGGGAAUAAGACAGCUGGUUGUAAGGAUUGGAGGCUUUUUUUUGGUGGAAGGAGCUUAUCCAUGGGGUUUAAUACAACAUGGUGAGUCACCCUGUUGCCUGAAUUCCAGAGGGGAAAGAGACAUUCGGGAAAAGGCUGCGGGGGAAAUUUGCAGUCCUGUGCACCUGUUACCAGGCACUUAUAUUCACCUGAUGGCUGCUAACAGAUUGCAGGCACAGCUUCUUGAAGAAAAUCAUCAACUUUGAACACAGUACCCCACACAUUGGAUUUGGGUGAAUGGAAAGUAUAUCAGAAUUACCUGGGAGAGUUUUCAAGUUAUAGUCACCGGGGCGUGGCUUUAUUAGUGAUUCUGACUCAUGUCUCCCUGCUCAGCACAGUCCUGAUACUCCACCUCCAAAGAGUGGUCCACAGAACAGCCACUUACAUAGAAUCAGGCAGGGUGUUUGUUAAAUAUGGGGAUUACUAGACCCCAUCCCAGACCUACGGGAUCAGAAUCCUGGGGGUGUGGACUCUGUGAAUCCAGUGUUUAAAGGUGCUCUGGCUGAAUGUGGCAAGUCCAGCGUGUGAUGCUCCAGGCUCUAAAAUAUUGGCCUUUCUUCCAGUUAUCUAACAAGUGAUGGUAACAGACCCCACUGUACACUCGAAUGAACACUGAUUGUGGGAGGCAGUCAAGAAUAGAAAGACAAAUUGAGUUAUUUGAGCUGCAAGUUCUUCUAGGGGGCAAAUGCUAGGUGUGUGCAUAUGUGUUUGUGGAAGUUCAUUUUCUUGCUUCAGGGUUUUAGUAAUUUAGAGGGACCUUUUCCUCUGUACCAUGCUUGCCCUUUUAAGGCAGAAAGGGAACUCCGGUGGAAAGACAGCAUUGACUAAUAGAACUUUCUGUGAUGAUGGAAUAUUCUUUAUCUACACUGUGCAAUAUUUUAUUCCCUAGCCACAUGUGGCAAUUGUGUACCUGUAAUGUGGCUGAGGAACUGAAUUUUACAUUGUACUGACACACAGUUUAAAUCUAUCUGCUUGUGGCUAGUGUCUACCGUAUUGAAUGGCACAGAAGACAGUGCCUCCACAAAUAGUGAGGACAGUUACAGAUCUUUGGUGUCACAUCCAGCUGCUCCAAGACACGGUUGGAGUGAUACGUUGGGUUGAUGCUUCUUAACUUUGAAAGCUUGGGGUAGAUCAUGUUUUAGUGUCCUUUGGCCUUUUUCUUUUUAAUCGGUACAUUUACCGAUGACAGUUUUCUUAAGCUCAGCAUAUGGUAGUGCGCUCAUUGUCCCAGGUGAAGUAGGUUAGGGGUGAUGUUUUCUCCUGUUGACUGCUCUGUCUCCAGCACCUGUAAUGAGUGAAUAUAAUGGAUGACUGAAAAGUGAUUUCAACUUGAGUAUUUUAUGCAGGGUGGGAGACUCUGUGUUACCCCGAGGUUGUAUAGUUAAACUGUUGUAUCACUUGAUGCUUUUGGUUAUAAUUAAUUUAAAAAAUGCAACUCAAAUGGCUUAGGUAGCAAAGGAGAUGAACUGAUGCAUAUAACUUAGAAUUUCAGAAGGAUGGAGCUUCAGGUAUGGCUCAAUCAGCGUAUGGGUCCAAUUUCUCUGUAAUUUGCUUCAGAGCUGCCGAUAGUCUGUAUUGACUACCUGUGAAGAUACAACCUACAUAUCUGUAAUGGACAGCCUUGAUUCUCUCAGAGCUGCUGUUUUCACCCUCCUCCUGUCUUGAGCCUCAAAAUGGCUCUUCUUUUUGAGAUAGAGUCUCGCUCUGUCACCGAGGCUGGAGUGUAAUGAUGUGAUUUUGGCUCAUUGCAACCUCCAGGUUCAAGCGAUUCUCCUACCUCUGCUUCCCAAGUAGCUGGGAUUGUAGGCGUGCACCACCAUGCCCUGCUAAUUUUUGUAUUUUUAAUAGAGAUGGAGUUUCACCAUGUUGGCUAGGCUGGUCUCAAACUGAGCUCAAGUGAUCCGUCUGCCUCAGCCUCGCAAAGUGCUGGAAUUAUAGGCGUGAGCCACUGCGCCCGGCCAAGAUGGCUCUUAUUUGCAGAUGGAUAACAGGGGCAAACGGGUGAUAUGCCUUGUUACUCACAGCCAGGGAGAGAGAGACCCAGAGGAACGUCAUGUACUGUGUGCUGAAUGCCUUAGUUCUGCAAUCCCUAAUCAUUGAUGCUUAUGCAAAUUGGUGCCCACUUGCAGUAACGGGUGGGGUCAGUCCUUAUCUGGGCCUUUUGACUGUUGCACUGGGAGCAAAACAUGGUUCCCUAAGGAAGAGGGAGGUGCUGUUGAGAAGAGAGAAGCCAUGGAAUAGAUGCCAGGUCAAGUAACCAACUGAUCCCCACUUCUGACAGCUACCUCCAAUGGGAUGGUGGAUUUAGAGAAAGGUCAAAUUGGACAGGUGCCAUGGGAAAUUUAAUUGCAAUUGAGUAUGGAUGAGGUAAGAGUGGACUCCUUGGAUAUGAGUUUUAACUUGACCCGAUGAGUUAAAAAAUACAGCUCCCAUUUAUUGAUCAUUUGUUACCUGAGCUCUUGUCAAACUCUCCACAGACACUAUCUUAUUAUUAUUAUUUUUGCAACAACUUUGCAAGUAGAUAAAAUUUAACCCAUUUUAGUGAUGAAGAAACCAAGUCUUAGAGAGGUGAAGUAAUUUGCUUUAACUUAACAGCUAGUAAACUGCAAUUCUAAUCUGGUUCUAAUUGCAGAGCCUGUGCUGUUAAAUAGUAUUCAAGAUCAGUGGUUUUCAACUGAGGUAAUGUUGCCUUUCCAGGGAACAUUUGGCAAUGUCUGAAGACAGUUUUGAUUGUUACAUCUGGGAAGUGCCACUGGUAUAUAGAGGGGUAGGGGUCGGGGUACUGUAAACAUCCUUUAAUGCACCAGAGAGCCCACUGCCAACAAAGAUUUAUCUGGCCCAAAUGCCAAUAGCAGCAAGAUUGGGAAACCCUGCCUUCUAGUUCUCACAGAAUUCCCCAUAGAUUCACUCACCAUCUCCUGAGCUCACUUUAUUUUCUUCUUAGCUCUCAUCACCAUCUGAAGUUAGCCUGCCUAUUAUCUGUUCCACUGGAGUGUAAUCACUUGAGAGCAGGAAUCUGAUCCAUAAUCCAUGUAUUCUACUCUCCUUAUGGCCAGGCAGUACCUGGCAGCUGAGCAGCAUAAACAUUUGUGGAAUGAAUGAGUGAAUGAAUGAACCAAUCAAGAUGGCAUCCUUCUUGGUGUGGGUAGGUACCUUCCAAUUGGAUAUGGCUCAGGGAAGAUACGAGAAUUUACCGGAAGCCUUGAACAGUUCUGGGGAACAAUGGAGACACACUGUGGCUUCCCAAAGGGAAGAGCGAGAGGUGAUCAGACAGCCAGUUCUCAUUCUUGCAAAACUUGACAAGCAAUGACUUGAAAGAGGAGGAUGGGAGGUAAGUAAUGAGACCAACCCAUGCUGUGCUGAGUGAGGUGAGAGUCAGAGCUCAGGUGGCUGAUUAAGACCCCGAGCACUCAGAAUGCAGAAGGCUGCAAAGAGGGUCACCAGCCCAUCAGCGGCCACCAAAGGCUGUACCAAGUCCACCUGGAACCUAGCCACAAGGGAUGGUGAUCAUGAUCCAUGUGAGGCAAGAUAGUUUACUGGUUACAGUGGUCACUGGCCUAUUUUCAAUUCCUUCACCGGCCCUUACCGGCUGUGUGACCUUGAUCACUUGCUUAACCUCUCUGUGCCUCAGUUUCUGCAUCUAUUAAAAAAAAAAUGCCUGGCUCUUUGUGCCUGGCUGGAGGCCACUUAGCCUAGAAUUUUGGAAUCCCAGGGUUUAACUCCUGGCACUGAAUACCCUUGUUGGAAGGUAGAGAAUGGGAUGUCACCUCUGGGGUACUAGAGUAUGGCCAAAUGCUGUUAACCAGGCAGUCAGUCUUUGGAAGAAAAUACUCUGCUUUUACAUCCCCUGGUGGUAGCAGAAAGUUACACGUGUGAAAAUAUGCAGGGGCUGCUCCUGUGUGUGUUGGGGUGAGGGUGUAGUGGAGGUUAAAGGUAUUUUGUUCCAGCCAGGCUUGUAAAAGAAAACAACAUUAAAUGGGCAUGUGCAGACACCCCCCCCCCCCACCAAAGUGUCCUUCCUUAUCUUUGUCUCCUGGUUGUGUGUUCAUGAAGCACAACCACCAAAAAUUGUGGACCGCAUCUCUGACCAAGAUCAAAGGAGGAAAAAUAAAUGAGUCCAAGACAAAGCAAUUUACAGAUAUUAAUUCCCAAAGAAGAGUAAAGAUGUUUGCUUUUUCUCUCAGCUUGUUGGUUCUCAGCAUUCUCAUUGUUUAACUAUUCUAAUGGUUUCUGCCUCCUUCUUUGUGUUUUCCUAAGAGUCCUUUCUUUUCAAAGUUGGGAUGACUUCCAGCUCUCACCUGCCCAAUCUGUCCUGUCACCUGGCUGUUGGGCUUCAUGUAUGAAAGUGAAAACCGAGGAGAGUAGACCUAUACGGAUGAUAACAAUAGUGGAGCUUGAUUUAGUGCCUCUCUACUCAGGCUUUGCACUGAGGGCCACACGUGCACCAUCCUUCAUCCUUAGCACGUGCUGUGAAGUGUGUGUACCAUCCUCUCCAGUUUAGCGGUCAGAACCCUGAGCCUUGGAAGUUGUUACUUGUCUGAGAUUAGGUGACAGCAGAUUAGGUGACAGCGGUGGGUUUCCUCUAGCUUGGUGUUCGUCAGGAGGCUGCAUUGUUGCCUGGUGACAGGUGGCAGGAUCCCCUUCAGGGUGUGAUGUACCAUUGUGUGAAUUAAGGGUAGGUGACCCCCUGGAGUUUGAUCUGAAGAAAGCUGAGGCCAGGCACCCUUCCUUGCACCCUCCGUUGGGAGGGAGACGUUGGUGCCUUGGCGAUGGUUUCACUGCGAGCCUGGCUCAUUGCAGCGCGGAGCUUCCCGGUUUUUCCAUCUGCAGCCGCGCCCUGCGCGUGUUGAGACACAAGUGCUUGCGUCUUCCCGCACUGACUAACUCCUACUUUCUCCUUGGGGUUCCCGGCAGUGCAACUUGGCACUUCAUGAACGUAGCAAGGUUCUAUGAGACUUAAACAAAAUUGUGGUAAAAUAUACGUAACAUAACAUAAAAUUAACCAUUUUAAUUAUACAAUUAAGUGGCAUUAAGUAUAUUCAGGUUAUUAUGCAGUUAUUACCACCAUCCAUCUCCAGAACUUUUUCAUCUUCUCCUACUGUGCCUAUUACCAACUCCCCAUUCCCCUUUCCCCUGGCCCCUGGUGACCUCUAAAUUUCUUUCUCUGUGAAUUUGACUACUCCAGAUACCUCAUAAAAGUGAAAUCGUACAGUGUUUACCCUUUUGCGACUGGCUUAUCUCAAUUAGUGUAAUGUCCUCAAGAUUCAUCCACGCUGCAGCGUGUCAGAAUUUCCUUCCUUCUAAAGUCUGAAUAAUAUUCCAUUGUGUAUGUACCCCAUUUUGCUCACCCUUCAUCUGUUGAUGGAGAUUGGGUUGUUUCCACCUUGUCCUAUUUGACUUUUAUCUUCCCACUCCCCUUGGAAGCAGGUGGAGUCAGAUUUUCUUGAUGUCCUGACCUCCUCCAUUCUGCUUUUCUUUCUUGCUCAGUUUUGCCUGACUUUCCCUGGGUCUCUCCGGAGCACCACUUACCCAAAGUCUCCAGCUCCGGUGCUGGGGCACAUAUUGCCAGAGUAGAGCCUUGCCAGCAACGUGUCCUCGUCGCUUCUUUGCAAAGGGUGUGUGUAUUGGUCAGCUGUUCUUCGGUCCCGCCAUCAGCUUUGACCCAGUCGACCCUUCCACCUUUCUGGCUUGGAGGCUGUAUGCUCAGUAAUUAUGUGCACAGGAUUUGAAUUUCAUGUAGUCCGGGUUCAAAUCUGGUCCUGCUGCUUCCUUGCUAUGUGGCCUUGGGUACAUGUUUUUACUUCUGUGAAGUAGCAGUAAUAAGAGCACAUAUCUUAUAUGAUUGCUACAGGGAUUCAAUGAAAUGAUGCAGUCAACUCUCGGCAUGGAACACAGAGCAAAGGCAACACUGAAUGACUGAUAGUUAUUACCAUAUUAAUUUUGUCAGUUUUCCUCCUUUGAAUCUGAUCACUUGAUUCUAGGCUUGUGGAGGCGCUGAAUAGACUUCGUAAUUGACUCAAAACACUUCUGUUUUAACACUCUGGGUUUUUAUCUUCUUUCCUGGCACCACUACCUCCUUUGAGAUUUUAUAGAGCUGAAUUUGUUGGACCAAAUUAUAUGGAGCAUAUUUGAUAGAAACACAUUCUAAGUAUACUGUCUUUAUGUCCUCAUGUUAUUUCCUUUCGAUUUCUUGAAGUCUCAAUUUAGUCACCACUCUGUAGGAAGCUACAAAUGAUGAUAGAGCAAUUAAGUGAUCCCUGAGUCUUUAGUGUUCUAGAAUGAUUGAUGUACAGAUAGAAAGAGAGAAAAUGCGUAUAGACAUUUUCCAAUAAACUUUAUGUCAGGGUAGUUUCCUGGUUUGGUCAAUUUUUCUUUCUGUUGAUUAUUCCAGUGUAGAUGGGAUAAAAAUUAAGCUACUAGACAUUUAUUGCUUAUAAACUUUUUGGCAUAUUUAAAAAAUAUCAUCUAAUUGUUAUUUUAAGGCAGUAGCUAUAGAAUAUCUAGCAUAUAUGUACCCCUUACUCUAUGCCAUCCUUUGCUGGAAGUGCUUUUUAUCAACUCAUUUACUUCUCAAUCAGCUCUAUGAAAUGUGUUAUAAUCAUUCCCAUUUUUGAGAGUAGGAAAUUGAGGCACAGAGGAGUUAAGAUUUUUUUUUUUCACUGCUGUUAAUGGUAGGCAAAGUUGGGAAACAAACCAGGUUCUUAGGUUCAGGCUGGGAGGGGGUUGGCUGCGUCCACAGUUAUCAAUGAGGAAAUGGAUGCCUGCAGGACGUAAGGUGCUUUACUGGGCUCAGCAGAGCCAGGGCUUUAUAUCCAGGUCUUUUAUAUAUCCAAAGCUUAUUUUUAUUUACCAUAGCUGUCUUAAUUUAUCAAUUAGUACGUGUGUAUUAUGUCUUUGUAUUUCUAUUUUUAUUUUUUAGAUUUUUUUUUUUUUUUUUUGUAGAGACAGGGUCUCACUGUAUUGCCUAGGCUGGUCUUGAACUCCUGGGCUCAAGCAAUCCUCCUGCCUCAGCCUCCCAAGGUGCUGGGAUUACAGGCAUGAGCCACCCUGUCUGGUCUGGGAGAGGGUGCUGGGUGAGGGGAUGGUGGUGGGGCAGGAUUAAACAGUGCUGCAGGCAUUCCCAGAAGGAAAAGAUCAUGUAGCGAUGAUUUGUUGUCAGUUAGGGUUAGAACUGGCCUUAAGGGGAAGGUAGUAUUUGUCUGUAGGAUAUUUAUAGAGAUGGGGUGGAAUGUUAUUCUAAGUGGAGGCAACAGUGGGAGCAAAGGCCUGGAGGCAGGAAAAUUCCAAGUGUACCAUGGACCCAGAGUGUCUUAAGUUAACAUUUAAGAAAAUGACGGAAUGAGAUAGCAUGUGUCCUUUACCAGCCUGGCAGAAUUUCACAAGUGUUUAUUAACUCUUGGUCUUGAAAUGAUUUGAUAAGGCCUCUUUGGAGAGUAUUGAGAAGAACCUAUUAAAAAUGGUAACAUUUUGACCUAGCCUUUCUACCACUAGAAACCUAUUCUUUGGAAAUACUCAAACUCAUAAAAGAUAUAUGUGGGGCUGUGUUCUCUAUAUAGCAUUGCUUGUAAAGACAAAAAUUUCAAGUUGGCUUAUAUGUGUUGUGGGUGGUUGAAAAAUUAUAUGGUAUCUCCCUACAGUGGCUUAUUCUGUAGUCAGUUAAAAAAGUGAGGUGGAUCUCUGUCCUGACAUGUAAACAGAUGAUGAUAUAUUAAAUAAAAAAGUAAGAGACAGCAUCUAUAGGAUGAUCCCAUUGUUAUAUCACAGCUACUGCUGACCUGGUUGGGUAUGCUUGUGUGUGCCUUAAAAAUAAAAAAAGAUCUGGAACAACAAGGAUAUGUUCCCUGUGGCUACCUCUGAGAAGGGUGACCAUAUGUCUCGGUUUGUUUGGGAAAUAUCUGGUUUACACCUGUUGUUCUGGUAUAAUUAUUAAUAGUACCCUCUUUCAGUGUUUGGUGAACUGCUUUGGAUGGUGAAUUAUGUGUUUACCCUACCUUCCUCUGAGGAUUGGAAUUGGGGCAAGAGAAAUGGGAAAUGGGCUGUGACAUAGGUGACUCGUUGGUGUAGUUUACAGCAAGCAGGUAUUAUUUUUAUGAGGGAAAUUGAGGAAGAUGGCCCUGAUACAUUAUGUAGUGGUUCACUGCGGAGCCACCAUUGCAUGGUCUUUAUCAGGGGAGAAGUUACCUUUUUUCUUUUCGUCAGGUGUAUGAGUAUCUCCGUUUUACUUAAAUAAGUCUUCAGUCAAAUCAUUGACGAUGUUUUCAUUGUCUGAGAAAAGUGGGUAGCAUUGGCCCUAACAUGCUUUUUCAAAUACCUAGUGGGGAUGUUUGCAUUUCUUUCUUUCUUUUUUUUUUUUUUUUGAGACAGAGUCUCACUCUGUUGCCCUGGCUGGAGUGCAGUGGUGCGAUCUCAGCUCACUGCAAGCCUCACGUCCUGGGUUCAAGCCAUUCUCCUGCUUCAGUCUCCCGAGUAGCUGGGACUACAGGUGCCCGCCACCACGACCAGCUAAUUUUUUGUAUUUUUAGUAGAGACGGAGUUUCACUGUGUUAGCCAGGAUGGUCUCGGUCUCCUGAUCUCGUGAUCCGCCCACCUUGGCCUCCCAAAGUGCUGGGAUUACAGGCUUGAGCCACCGAGUCUGGCCUCUAUCUUUUUCUUUAAUUUGGUUCCAAGGUAGUUGGAUUGAAGUUCUUUUUUUUUUUUCUUUUUUUUUUUUUAUUUGAGACAGAGUUUCACUGUAUUGCCCAGGCUGGAGUACAGUGGUGCAAUCUUUGCUCACUGCAACCUCUGCCACCUGGGUACAAGUGAUUCUCCUGCCUCAGCCUCCUAAGUAGCUGGGAUUACAGGCAUGUGCCACCAUGCCUGGCUAAUUUUGUAUUUUUAGUAGAGAUGGGGUUUCUCCAUGUUGGUCAGGCUGGUCUCAAACUCCUGACCUCAGGUAAUCCACCCGCCUCGGCCUCCCAAAGUGCUGGGAUUGCAGGCGUGAGCCGCUGUGCCCAGCCAGAAUUGAAGUUCUUCUUUGGGAAAACAGCACACCUUUUUAAAAAAUUUAAAACUGUGACCCUCCCCACCCCUGGGUUCCUCAAACAUAAAUUUAGACACAAUAGGAGUUAAAAUGAUUAAAUGAGCUACAUGCAAACUAUUGACCUAGAGUGGGCUUCAGAGUUGGCUAGGUUCCUCUUUUCUUUGCUUCCCAGUAAAACCCUAGAGGAAAUGGGGAUGGGUGGGAAAGAGCUGCAGUUAAAAAAUAGCAGUGAUUCAGAUUUACCGGACAUUACAGGGGCACUUCUGAUGUGCCAGGCACUGUGCUAGAUGAUUUCACAUCUGUCCCCUUAUUUAUUCUUUUUUUUUUUUUUUUGAGAUGGAGUCUCACCCUAUUGCCCAGGCUGGAGUGCAGUAGCACGAUCUUGGCUUACUGCAGCCUCUGCUUCCCAGGUUCAAGUUGUUCUCCUGCCUCAGCCUCCCAAGUAGCUGGGAUUACAGAUGUGUACCACCAUACCCAGCUAAUUUUUGUAUUUUUAGUAGAGAUGGGGUUUCGCCAUGUUGGCCAGGCUGGUCUCAAACUCCUGGUCUCAAGUGAUCCACUCGCCUCAGGCUCCCAAAUGGUUGUCUGUUUUUAUCUCUCAUCCAUUUCUACCUCUGCUUUUCUGAAAUUAGCUAGUUAUUACUGAGUCUUAAUAUUUUUUUUUUGUUUCAAGGUAAGACUGGUGAUAUGGAACUUUUAAUACUACCUCUUCUCAUAUUUAUAUUUAUAGGAAAAACUUGGAAUGAAUGUUUACUGCAUAAAGUAUAGUUUGUAUUAUUCAUGUUGAGUGGAUCAUGGUGUAAUUCCUUUUUAUUUGCCCUCUGCUAAAAAAAUAAUUUCUAAGAUGUUACUUGAUAACUUGUCCAAGAAAAGUUUACUUAAAAGUUUGACAGAUUAAAGCCUGUAUGCAUCUGGAAGUUUGGUGUUUUGGGUUAACUGAGCAUAGAAUGUUUCAGUGGCUGUCAUUCUUUUGAAUUUGAAGGAUGUAACUUUGAAAUACCAUUUUGUUGCCCAUCCUAACUAAAACAAGCAAAAGCAAAUCGAUAUAGACAAGGUUGUGUGAUGUAGGGGGAGUUACAGCUAAGGAAAAAGGAAGUAUUGGACAUCUGUUGGGUAUCCUAUUGCCCUUUAAAAAAGUUAACUCAUUUUUUUCGCUAGAAUUGCAUUUUACUUGACCUUGAAAAAAGGACAAUCCAAAUAACUUAAUACUAUUACCUGGCCAUACUUCACUAUCUCUCAUUCCAGUUUUUUUUUUUUUUUUUGGUUCAGCAUAUUGUCUGGCUUCCUGGAAAGCAAACUCAGAGAUGAUUACCAUAUAGGACAUUGGUUAGGGAAUGCUUUUGGAAUCAAUUCCUGUUGAAGGAAUUGGGCUGGAGGAGAAGUUAGGCUGUGAAGUCGUCUCAACCAAGGCCCAGCCGACCUGCAGGAAGCUCUGACAUUGAGAUGGUUCUUCAGUAUUGUCCUGGGUUGGGAUGAUAGGGCAAGGCUUGUAUACCCUCAAGUCAACAAGGAUUGGAGGCGGCUGUUCUGGGAAGGCUAUGUGACCUCAGGGAAGGUGACUCUCUGCAGCCAACACAAGUCUUGGAGGGGGAUCCUGGAGGCGGGUGGCAUAGUACAGCAUAGUGUUCACUGCAUGUGGGCAUAUGACAUAGGGGUGUAUGUUUGUGUGUGUGUAAUUGGCUUAAUAAGCACCACCUUCUUCAGUAACAUGACCAAGAACACACAUCUGGGAAGUGGGUGUGCUUGGAUUUGAGCUCAUGUUUGACUAGCUUUCAAACCUAUCUUUUCGUCGCUCUAGGACUGUUGCAACGUUUGUUGUCGAGAAAAGAAUACUUGGGCCGUUCCCUUUCAUUUUCCCUUUGGCGCAUUUAUGUGUGCUGCCAUGUGGGGACACCCUUGAAGUUAGCUGAAUUGGCUUCCUCUGGUAUCUCCAACCUUUUGUCACAGAGAGUUGAAAGGAAAGGUAAAUUCUUUUGUCCUAAAUGAAUCAUCAGCUGGAAGAAAAGUCUGAACUCUAGCCCUCUAUUAUAUUCCCCAGCCAGGGAUGACUUUGGGCAAAUUGGUGUCCCUCCAGUUCCCUGGGAAGGCACUUGACUCAACAGGCCUCUUUCCAUUUAAAUACCACAGGUAACACUUGGCUUCCUCUGAGAAAGCUUUCAAGUCCUGCCCCUUUGCUUACAGCUGGCUGGCAUUCUGUGUACCCACUACGGCACUAGGAUGAGACCGGCCAUAAAAUAUUUGCUCUAUGCUUUUAUCACUGCCUGGAAAUCCUGAGGGCAAAGGUGCUUUGUAAACACCAAGUUGGUAGUGAGUGGUGUGCAGAAAAUUUGGAAAUAAACACAGUUCAGUUCAUGUAGGGGUUAUGGGACUUCUCCAAAUACCACAAACUGGAAAUUCUGAAAAGAAAGUUAGAUUUUAUCAAAAUUUGGGUGUUUGGGAUUUUCAAAGAGCUGUCCUACUAAUGACAUCAGAGCCCCAUAUAGCCAGAGAAAGCUUCGUUUCAUUAUAAUGGUGUAAGUGAGGAACGCCUAGAAGUGUGCUUGUUUUCAGCCUCUUAUCAUCUGCCGGCCUGCACCCUGGUCAGAGGAUCAGAUUCUUUCAAGAGGCAGUUUCUUUCAUUCAGCCUUUUACUUGAGUGAAGCAGGCUUGUUGGGCAUCAGUGAAUAUCAUGCUAAGAGUUCCGUAGUUCAAGGAGACCUAGAAUAAGGGGGAAAGCACUUUGUGAAUUGCCCAAGUUAUUGCCUAGGGAUAUGCAUAUUGGGAGCCCUGAGGAGUGGCCAAGGCACCACAGAACAGAGACUCACACUCAGUACCUGAGCAGGCUCCUUACUUUCUGUAUACUUUUUGUUGUAAAAUGGAGUUAAUAGCAGCACCCAUUUCAUAGUGUUAUUGUGAUGACUUACUAAUACAUGUGAUGCUUAGCAUUGCUUAAUGUUGUGGCUAAGCAUUUUCUAUAUGUUAGUCGUUAUUGUUUUUAAAAAUAAACAAUGAUUCUUUUUUUUUUUUUUUUUUUUUUUUUUUGAGACAGAGAGUAUCACUUUGUCACCCAGGCUGGAGUACACUGGGACAAUCUCAGCUCUCUGCAACUUCCACCUCCCGGGUUCAAGCGAUUCUCCUACCUCAGCCUGCUGAGUAACUGGGAUUACAGGCACCCACCAGCAUACCCAUCUCAUUUUUGUAUUUUUAGUAGAGACAGGGUUUCACCAUGUUAACCAGGCUGGUCUGGAACUCCUGACCUCAAGCAAUCCACCUGCCUCACCUAUCUCGGCCUCCCAAAGUGCUGGGAUUAUGGAUGUGAGCCACUGCACCCAGCCAACAAUGAUUCUUUUAGGUUGAAGAGUUAAUGUGCUCAUGAGGGCAGGUUGAGAACCACAGUGCUGUGUAAAGAUAUACAUUUUUUAUUGAACACCUACUAUGUGUUAAGUUUCAUGCUUAGAGCUUUGUAGACACUACUGUUUAAUUCUCUCAGUAACAUUAUUAUGUAGGUAUCGUUAGGCAUUCUUAGGAACCUUGGAAAGUUUACCUUGUGUAGGUAGUCAGGGGUAGAACCAGGUCUUGAAUUCAGAUAUUCCUUACUUUUUUUAUUUUGAGGCAGAGUUUUACUCUUGUCGCCCAGGCUGGAGUGCAGUGGCAUGGUCUUGGCUCACUGCAACCUCGGUCUCUGGGGUUCAAGUGAUUCUCCUGCCUCAGCCUCCCGGGUAGCUGGGAUUACAAGCACCGGCCACCACGCCCGGCUAAUUUUUGUAUUUUUAGUGGAGACGGGGUUUCUCUGUAUUGGCCAGGCUUAUCUCGAGCUCUUGACCUCAGGUGAUCCGCCUGCCUCCCAAAGUGCUGGGAUUAUAGGCGUGAGCCACCGCACCUGGCCGGAUAUUCUUUAUUUUUAAGAAUCUGAAGUACUAUGCAUCACUCCCUCCAAUGUCCUGGGGCAGCCACCAGGCAUAUUCAUCUUUGUGUGUGUUUUUCUUUUGCUUUAGCACUGGGGCACUUCUUGCUUAUUUCUUUGGUAGGAAAGGGGCUCAGUUUGUCUUGUGGGGUUGGUGGCAGGCAGGCCGGCUUACGCCUGAUACGGCCCUGGGUUAGAAGGGAAGGGAAGAUAAACUUUUAUACAAAUGGGGAUAGCUGGGGUCUGAGACCUGCUUCCUCAGUAAAAUUCCUGGGAUCUGCCUAUACCUUCUUUUCUCUAACCUGGCAUACCCUGCUUAAAGCCUCUCAGGGCUUCUCUCUGUUCUUAGGAUCAAAGUAUUUAGAGCUACAAGAGCCCUCAUGGUCUGGCCCCUGCCCCCCGGCCAGCUUCAUUGUACAUGUGGUGUUCUCUUGUCGUUCCUGUAAUGUGGUAUGCCAUGGGGUCUUUGCACAAGCCUUUCCUCUUUGGCUGGACACUGUUCCCUGCCCCCCCAUACUCUUCCUACUUAAUAUGUAGUCAUCCUGCAGAUUUCAAUUCUAACAUCAUUUUCUCCAGGGAUCCUGGCCUGACAGAAUCUCAUCUUGUUUAAUGCUCUCAUAAGACCACUUGUUUCCCUUUUGCAGCACUUGCCACUCAGUUGUAUCUUUAUGUGCGUUUGUGGUUGUAUGGGUUGUGUCUGUUCCCCAGAAUGCCCAGCUCUGAGCUGCGUGAGGGUCAAGGGCAUUGCUGUGCCUGCCAGGUAUAGUGCCUACAUGUGGUGGGUGCUCAUGUUUUAGAGACUAAAUGGAGGAGGAGAUGAGGAAAAGAUUGAAAUCUCUCGGUUCACCAGAUGGUGUAGGGCCCAGCAUUGUAAAUUCACACGUUGACUGUGCUUGUGAAUUAUCUGGGGAUGCAGGUCCUGAUUCAGUAGGCCCAGGUUGGGCAUCUCUAACAAACUCCCACGUGAUGCUGAUGCUGGUCCUAUGAACUAUACUAAAUAGUAAGAAUCUAUGGAGCCAGGCUGGGCAUGGUGGCUCACACCUAUGAUCCCAGCACUUUGGGAGGCUGAGGCAGGCUGAUCACCUGGAGUCAGGAUUUCAAGACUAGCGUGGCCAACAUGGUGGAACCCCAUCUGUACUAAAAAUACACAAAUUAGCUGGGCAUGGUGGCACAUGCCUGUAGUCCCAGCUACUUGGGAGGCUGAAGCAAGAGAAUCGCUUGAACCUGGGAGGCGGAGGUUGCAGUGAGCCGAGAUCAGGCCACUGUAUUCCAACCAGGGUGACAGAGUGAGACUCUAUGUCCAAAAAAAAAAAAAAAAAAAAAAUCUAUGGAGCCAGAUAAGCUCCAGAGGACUAGUGUGUGGGGCACACAUUCUUCCCUCCUCCAAUUUAGUAUCUUUCCUUCUCUUCUGCCCUAAGGAAAGUAUAGCAAAUACACUGAAAUGGUUAUUGCUGUACUAGGGCUCAUCUCACUUAUGAGCUAUGUUCCUUGUUGUCUGCAGUAUAUUUUCUUGUUUGAGUCAAGCCCAUCCAUAUUACUGCUACCAGUUCCCUUGAUAAAUGGUCCUGAAAUGUUUCCUCGGAAGCAUCAGCAACAGACCUACUGACAACAGCUGCUUAGGAUGCAGUUAAGGAAUUUCUCUUCAGCCUUGCACCAUUUCCCUUAUCCUGCACAUUUAUGCUCUUGAGUUUCCUCUUCCUCGCUCUCCUCCUCCUCACUAGAGUUGGACUGUGUUGGUGACAUGCUGUGUCCAAGUGUUUAGAGUCAAUUCCUGAUUUCUCAGGCAGCGAUUAGAUUUUGAGUGUGUUGCUCAGCUUUCCUGCUUUUUGGCUUCCUAAUUCUUCUGUUUACAACUUGAUUCUUACCUGUUAAUGAUAUAGGAAAAGAGACAGUGUGUCAUUGGGAAGAUAGGAUCGCCGUGGGGCUUAAAGGAGACAAUGAGAUAGAACUGAUAAAGUUCUACCGAGGCAGGUCCAGGGACUCCUUCCCUCUUGAGCGCCAUGGGACCCAGCAUCUGCACUGUACCCUGAGUGUAGUCAAGCUUAAUAGACUUUACGUGACAUAUGUGAUCUUCAGGCCAGGUGUGGUGGCUCACACCUGUAAUCUCAGCACUUUGGGAGGUCGAGGUGGGAGAAUUGCUUGAAGCCAGGAGUUUGAGACCAGCCUAGGCAACGAAGUGGGACUCUGUUUCUACAUAAAUAAAUAAAUAAAUAAAUAAAUAGCUGGGCAUGGUGACAUGCACCUGUAGUUCUAGCUACUUGGGAGGCUGAGGUGGGAAGAUCACUUGAGCCUAGGAAUUUGAGGUUGCAGUGAGCUAUGAUUGAGCUACUACAUUCCAGACUGGGUGAGAGAGUGAUACUGCAUCUCUAAUAAACAAAACAAAACAAAACAAAACAAAACAAAACAAAACCAUGUUCUUCAAAGAGAGGACCGCUAAACCAAGAAAAAACUGAAACAAAAAUUUAAAACUCAUAAUCCCAUUCCCCUGUUUUAUUUAUGUGUCUGUGUGUUGAUAUGUUUUUAUGUCAUACUUUCUUUAAACGACAGUAUUAUAUGUGACAUCAUUAGAAACCUCCUUAAAGUUCUGGUACCAUAGGAUGAUCAGAGUCUAAACAGAUGAAAAAGCUUUACUUCAGCAUUGCCUAGGGUUUGACAUAUGCUGAAAAUAAACCAUUCUAGUUUGUCUUACUCAUAUGUAUAUGUAUAGACACAUAUACAUACCCAUACACACAUAUAUACAUAUAUACCUACACAUAAACACAUAUACAUGUAUACCUAUAUGUGUGUAUAUAUGUGUCACAAGUGAAAAGUUACUUGUUUGACUUUAGGAGAAGCUUUUAAGACUUUAACAUUUGAAAUAAAAUGCUGGGCAACUUUCUGUCUUUAGAAGGUGGGAUUUCAUUUUUUGUCGUAUCCAAUACUGGCAGUAAUAGUUUUUCAGCCUCUCAUGAGUUAAUUCACAUUUGCUGACAUUAUUCAUAUAGCAGCCAGCCACACAAGUGCUUCCAUACUGGUUGCUGGUUCCUGUCUGGUGGACAGCUAAAUCCUCAUGAGCAAUAGACAAUAAGGGCUAAAUGAAUGUGAUAGAUUUCUGUUUACUUGGCUGUGUCUGGUAGUGGUAAAGUCACAAAUUUCAGUGAUGGGAAGAAUUGAGUUGUCACUUAACAAAUUACUGAUCUCUCUAAAUAUAAUUUUUUAUCAGCUCAACAUAACCCAAGUAAAUCCAGAGUUUUGAAGUGACUGACUCGAGGCCCAGUGUGUCAUUCAAAGAAAUCCAGUCCAGGAACCAACCCUAGAAGUGAUUGCAAUCUUAUUGGAAGUCAGGUGAUUCCCUUUUGCAGCCCUUCCUAAGUGCCCUUUCCCUCUCUGUUUAUUUGUCAUCAUUCCAUCUCUAGAUUCCUGGUAGAUCCAUGGGAGAUGCAUGGAAGAUCUCUUUGUGGUAUGUUUCUUGUCCUCUACCAAAUCUCUCCCUGGCAUGGUGCUGCCAUUCCUUUUUGUGUCAUCUUCUUUCCUUGUCUUUGUCCUUCAGCUAUUUUCUUCUCUCCCUUUGAUUUCCCCCCUUCCACUCACACACACUGAUGGCCUCAAUAUGUAUAGUAAGACACAAGGGGAAGGCGUGGGAGAUUUAGGAAUGGGGUUAGUGCUGAGUGGGAAGUGCUAAAGAUUUUCUUAGUGGGUGAGGAGAGGCAAAGAGGCUGUGAAUAUUGAUUUUGAACAGCUGAGGAUGAGGCUGUUACUUAUAAGAUGAGGAUAUUAUCCUGAUGGGAAUGGUGUUCCUGCUUAGUGAUGUAACCAGAAGUCUGAAAGGUGGGCCUAUUUUGUCCUUAAAACAUAGGAAGAGCCUGUAGUAUCAUUUUUAGGUUGAGACAAAAGAAAAUCAAGAUAUGGGCCACUCAUUGCAGAUGAUCUUCUCUGCCUCCCCAUCUCCUGCUUGGCCCAAAAGCAGCCUGCUGGGAGAUGCAGCAUUAUUGAAGACUGUGGUCUCCCUUGCAACACAUUCAAAGAUCUGUAGGUCACAUUGAUUCUUAGUUAAACCUAACCCACAGCUUUGCAUAUGGGACUGCUUUAAAACAGCUGCCCUCUGUGAUCCAUUAAAAAUAAAAAAGCCAUUUAACAUGGCAAAUUCAUAGUUUCAUAGAUUUUAUCUUGAUGUCAUCUGAACUUUGGAAUUAUAAUUCAGCAGAUGUUUUAAUACUCUUGUACAUUAAAUCAGAUGUCAAUGGGAUACAGAAGGAACCAAGCUGCAAUAAAACAGCAAAGGUAUAUACAAUAAUAUAUGUUGAGGACCCUUCUAAUUGUUGCCAGGAGUAGUGUUUGUAAUCAUGGCUUCAAAGGCACCUUGGUGGGCUUCUGUGGCUAAAACCCCAUUCUUCUAGCUCUCUCCUGUGAUCUUUUGCCUGUCAGAGUUUGCUUUAAAUCUGCGAUAGUCGAAGAUGCCUGAGACUCAGAAUUUUUGGACUUACCUUGUUCAUGGGAUUUCAUCUAUCAGUGGUUUGUCUGCAAUGGCAGAUUGCAUUUUUUUCCCAAAGUUGGUGGCAAAAAAUAGCUCCCAUGCCAGAUACAAUGUGAACUUGACUGUGCUUCCAUGGGAGUGGGGAAGGUGAUGUCUAUAUACCAUCCUUUUAAACCUGGACAGACCUUUGUGAUUAUCUGGACCAACAGAGUAUGACAGAAAGUCACACCAUGUGACUCUUGAGGCAGGACCGUAAAAAUGCCAUGUGCUUCUGCCUUGCUAUCUUGGGAUGCUUGUUCCUGGAUCCCAGCCACCAUGCUAUGAGGAAGCCCAGACUAAGCCCACACAGAGAGACCACGCAGAGAGGCCACGUGUAGGUGUUUCGGCCGACAGCCAGUGUCAACCUCUAGACAUGCGAGUGAAGAUGCCUCCGGAUAUUCCAGCCUUUAGCCAUCAAGUCACCCCCAACUGAAGCCCCAGACACUGUGGAGUCAAACUGUCCCCAUUUCUGUCUGACUUCCUGAACCACAGAACCGUGAGCAUAAUGAAAGGGUUGUUUUAUGCCACAAAGUUGAGGUGGCUUAUUUUGGAGCAUUAGUAACCAGAGAGAGAGAAUGAGGAAAGUCCUUGGCUUCUAAUAAAAUCCGAGCAGGAUUUUUUUCCCCACAUCUGUUUUGGCGAACAGGAGCGUCAGCUUCUGAAUUGUUUUAGAUAGUCUCACAGGUAUAAAGGAAGUAGCAUUUUAGUUUACAAAGGGGGUGGGAGUAGAUUAUUGUGAUGUCCCCCGCCUUCUCUUGUUACUAUUAUUAUAAACAAAUAAACAGCUUGUCUGAGUGCAGUGGUGUUUACAACUGGUUGGUCACAACUGGUUACAGAUUUCUUUGUUCUUUCUCUACUCUCACUACUUUACUUGACUAACCAAAAACCAAACAAACAAAAAAGUGAGAAUUUGCUCUACACAGUUACCAAGUUACCCUUAAAAACAGUUGAAGCUGGCCAGGUGCGGUGGCUCACGCCUGUAAUCCCACCACUUUAGGAGGCCGAGGUGAGUGGAUCACUUGAGGUCAGGAGGUCAAGAGCAGCCUGGCUAACAUGUGAAACCCCAUCUCUGAAAUACAGAAUACUAAAAAUACAAAAAUUAACUGGGUGUUGUGGUGUGUGUCUGUAAUCCCAGCUACUCAGGAGGCUGAGGCAGGAGAAUCUCUUCAACCUGGGAGGUGGAGGUUGCAGUGAGCCAAGAUCACACCAUUGCAUUCCAGUCUGGGCAACAGAGUGAGACGAGGUUUCACCAUGUUGGGCCAGGCUGGUCUCGAACUCCUAACCUUGUGAUCCACCCACCUUGGCCUCCCAAAGUGUUGGGAUUACAGGCAUGAGCCACCGUGCAUGUCCUGCCUCUCCUCUUUAACCUUGAAUCAACAAGCCAAAUCUCCACUCUCCAUUACUCUGUGGCUGAAUUGCAGUUGCUGUGGUGUGUCCUUGUCUCCACAUGGGGAGGUGGUGGCGAAUGGCUGGUAAGAAGGAGAGGGAAGGAGGGAAGAGUUUGUAUUAGGGUUUAUGGCUGCCCCUGUGACUCUGCUGUUCAAGGGGAAAGGGCUUUGUAGUUUUGCACCAACUGCCCUGUUCAUCUUCACAGUCUUACAGGUAUCAAAGUUAUCUCUUCUUCUUUCAUAUGUUCAGGGCAGAUGGAUCAAAGCAGUUCAAAGGGAAGUUUUGCCUAAAUACAUGACUAUAGAUCUAAUACUCCCUGGGACUGUGUAUAUGUGUGUGUAUGUAGUGGUUGUUGUUAAUUCCAGCUCUGUACUAUUAAUAAUUCUCCUGUUAGUGUCAAUCAUUAGGUGCAAUUUACCUGUCUGGACAAAUGGCCCUUACUAUGCUUGUUGUACCUGAAAAUACCAGGAAGGCCACCUUUGAAGUGCAGUGAAUCAGAAGCACUAUUUUUGAAAAAUAGGCCAGGUGCAGUGGCUCAUGCCUGUAAUCCCAGCACUUUGGGAGGCUGAGGUGGGCAGAUCACCUGAGGUCAGGAGUGCGAGACCAGCCUGACCAACAUGGAGAAACCCUGUCUCUACCAAAAAUACAAAAAAUUAGCUGCGUGUGGUGGCGGGUGCCUGUGAUCCCAGCUACUCGGGAGGCUCAGGCAGGAGAAUCCCUCUACCAGGGAGGUGGAGGCUGCAGUGAGUCGAGAUCGCGCCACUGUACUCCAGCCUGGGAAGAGAGUGAGAGUCUGUCCCCAAAAAACAAAAAAAGAAAAGAAAAAUAGUCUAUGUGGGACAGGUGAGUUUUAAGCAGCAUCAAGUCAUUUCAGAAAAGACAGAGAUCUUCACCACCACCCCCCACCCCAUGAAAUGUCCCUAAUUCCUACCUAAGAGCUAGAUCCUUACAAAUAAAAUUGGAAAUGGUAGUAUUGUGUUCUGUAUGUUUGCAUUAAAAGGAAACAAAAUGUCAAGUGAUUAAAAUUGGUACCUCAGGGAAUUAUUUAUUAUAGAAACAUUUAAUGCAGUGAGAUCUCCCCUCCCCAUCCAGACGUGUUUUUUUCUUUUCUGCAAAUUUGCCCAGUGUUUCUGAAAAUGCGAAUUUAAAAUGCCUUAUUUCUAAGCUAAAUAUUGAAGUUAAUCCUUACCUGAGGAGAACUAAUGCAGGCCCCUUUAUUGCCAAGAGAUUUUUGUGCUUGGCAUUUGUUUUUGUUUAUGAGACUCAAUCUAUGAAAUUGAGGCAGGAAGCCUGUCAAGUGGCUUCAGAAGGUCUGAGCACACUGGGGCUUAUAAGACUUGAGGCGGGAAGUGGUUGAUCAAACCUGAGCUUGCUUUGGGAACAAGUACUGAGGCAAGGGGAAGGUUUGGACCUUGCUAGUGAUCAUAUAGGAUCACUUUUGUUUAAUAUAUGUGAGAGCUUUCAGCUUCCGUGUUUUUCUAAAGGCUUUAACAGCUUGGCCUGUGGACAAGCAAUUAUUUAAUUAAAAUUGGCACAGAUGUCCAAAAUUUUCCAUUGUUCUUCAGACUACUUGUUUUUUGUUAGGUAGACACAUUGUUAUGAACUGGACAGGAAGCAAAAUUGGAAGGGCAGGUAGGAGCAGCUGUUAAGGCCACGGACAUGUAAGUUUCUGCAUUAUAUAGGGUUGGGGUCUGCUUAUUUGUCAUGUGAUUUUAAGCCAUGUUAUGUAACCUGUCUGAGCCUCAGUUUCCCCCUGUAUAAAACAGGGAUAAUUAUCGGACCUGCCUCCUCCAGUUGUGAGGAUUCAGAGGGAUCUUGUCUGUCAAGUGUUUACAUUUUAGAUUUUUAUUGAGUCCUGUGAGGCUGAUACUCUUUUCUUUCUAGCAUGACAUUGCAGUCGUUUUAUAAAUCUUGGCAUAUCUGAACUUUGGUCUGUGGAUAAGUUGGUGGAGGUUUUAGUGGUUUGGAUCUAGCAUAAUCAUAAUAAUUUUUAGAUAUUAUAUAUCUUUUUUGAAUAUUCAAAGUUUAUUUUAAAAUUUUCUUUUUGAAAACCUCACUGAGGUGAGUUCUUUACUCCUGGGAGGUCUUCAUCCCCCUUCACCUAUUCCAUCCUAAUCGAACCAAUUCCUACUUGUUCUUCAAGACUGAGCUCAAAUACCAUGGCCUUGAGAUCCUCCACCCCCAAAUACUUAGGGGCCUUCUCUGGGCACCCUGAAUUUGUUUCUUCUAACUACAUUCUAUUAUUUUCUAAAGACCUUUCUGUCUCCCCUAUUUGAUAGCAGGUCCCUUGAAGAGAAUAAUUUCAUCUUUUCCAUUUUGCUAUGUAUCUCCAGCACCAGGACAAGACAUCUUUAUAAUAUCUUAAUACAUGCCGACUGCAACUUUUGGAGCUUCAAUUUCCUAAUUGUUCACUGGGUCAUUGGGAUGACUAAAUGAAAUAAUGGCUGUGAAGCACUUUAGACAGGGCCUGGCCUGCCAUGGGUUUUCAUUAAAAUUGGUGGGCUGAGAGGAUAAUAAUUGCUGCCCUUCUGUAAAAGCCUGAUAUGAAAGGUUUAGCCUGUGAUGCAGGAUGUUGCCCUGCCAUGGACAGGAAGUAAACACCCAUUAACUGCCCAUGUUGGGCCAAGCCCCUUGUGCUGAGUCCUGCCCCACCAUGGGGGCUGAGCAGAGCUCUCUGGCUCACCUGCUUCCUGGUUGAAAUACUCCAGUGUGGAAUACCUUUCAUCAUGUCUGGUGCCUUUGGACAGUUUUAGCUUUUAUUUCCCACAAGGCCCAUCUUGUGCCAUUAUUUACCCUUGGUAAGUAAUCAAGGUAGAAGCAUCACAGUAUAUGUGUUGGGAUUAUUUUUGCCUUAGUCGUAUUAGGUUUAAAAAUUUUUUUUUUUAAACCCUGCGUUUAUUUCAAUAAGAAAAUUUAAUUGGGGUAGGAAGAAAGAGAUGGAGAAAUAGAGAUUAAAACAGAACAUCACCUCCCAGCCUGGUUUCUUGAGCCCAAUUGGAGGCCUUAAAAGGCAUCUGGGGAAGGAAUGUCAAGCUGUUUUAUCAUUAAAAGGGAACAAGGGCUGGGCGCGGUGGCUUGAGCCUGUAAUCUGGGCACUUUGGGAGGCCGAGGCGGGCAGAUCACGAGGUCAGGAGAUCGAGACCGUUCUGGCUAACACGGUGAAACCCUGUCUCUACUAAAAAUACAAAAAGAAAAUUAGCCGGGCAUGGUAGCGGGCGCCUGUAGUCCCAGCUGCUCGGGAGGCUGAGGCAGGAGAAUGGCGUGGACCCGGGAGGUGGAGCUUGCAAUGAGCCUAGUUCGCGCCACUGCACUCCAGCCUGGGGGACAGAGCGAGACUCCGUAUCAAAAAAAAAAAAAAAAAAGCGUGGGGGGAACAAGACCUGAUUAACCAGAGUACAUUUUCUCAAGAUAUGGUUACCUAGUUUAACUAAAAUGUCAAGUUUCUUUACUUUUAGGUAGAGUAAGGUUAACUCUGUGUGGUUACAGUGGCUCUCUCGGGGGCAGAUAGGUUACUUAUUAGUUCGAAAGCACAAUUGGGGAACACAGACUUCUCGAACUGGGCUGUAUUUGCAAAACAUGAUGCAACUAGUUCUUAAUGGCAAAACGAUUGUGGAGCAUUGGUGUGUCCUAUUGUGGCUUAAAAGGGAACUUAGCAAUCAGAUAAUAAAGAAAGGAAUAAACCAACAUUAAUACCAUGUGUAGAAAGUGAUUUGAGAUGGAGAAAACGAUUAACUUCCCAAGGUGGUCUGAAAGUAUAUGUUAAAAUAGACUUGUUUUAUUCAUGGAAUAUUUCACCAUAUAUUUGCCAUAAGGCCUGAAGACUCUGUUAGGUGCUUUUCCCAUUUUUUUCCCCUCACACUUGAGGGGUAAAGAAAGAUAUCGGUAGGUCAUAAUCAUUUAUACAUGUGAAAUUUUGAUAUUGCAUAUGCUUGGCACAUUGAAAGUAAGCAUAUCAGUACCAUAGAUGAGGAAGCAUAUUGCUCCCAGAUUUUAUUGAUUCUUUCUCAUUUCUGCCUGUCUUUCCUCUCCUUAUCCCCCUAAAUUAUAAUUUCAUUGAAAAAGGGCUUCUUUUCAACACACACUGGUGCCUGUCAGGGAGUGCGGGGUUGUGCGGAGGAGAGCAUCAGGAAAAAUAGCUAAUGCAUGCUGGGCUUAAUACCUAAGGGAUGGCUGAUAGGUGCAGCAAACCACCAUGGCACAUGUUUACCUACCUAACAAACCUGCACAUCCUGCACAUGUACCCCGGAACUUCAAAUAAAUUUUUUUUUUAAAAAAGGGAUUCUUUUAUAGCCCUUACCUUGAGUGAUAAAGGGUCAGAAUGAAAAGGUACUUCUAGAAUGUAAUGCGAUUUUAUCCCCAUUUAGAUGUGAUUCUAUUCUCUGUUAAGAAAUGAAAUAACUGUAAACACAAUAUGUAAGUGAACUGUUAAACUACUUCCAUUAAAUGUUUCAAGUAAUGGAAAUACAUCAACACUAACCCUACAAGCUAUGUGCCUUAAAAGUUCAUAGCCUCAUUUUUAUGAGCUUCAAGGCUUUUUGCAUUAGAUGAAAGGAAUAGUACCCUGUAAAAAUUGGUAUCUUAUGGGCUUGAAGCUUUCACCAGCAUUUUAGGAAAGGAAAGGGUAAAAAAAAAGAAAAACCCCCCAAAAAAACCAUCAAAUGGUUUCAGAGUAUAAUCUACAAAUGGGAUAAGUGAUCAUUAUCUUUUGGCUCUAGUCAAAUAAGGAAGGCCUAACAGAUUAGUCUUGGUCUCUUAAAUCUUAACCUCUAAAUAUGUAAUUUUUAUUAAAGGAGUAUAUUCUAGAGUAAAAACUAGGCUUAAUACUUGAUUUGUUGCAGAAUUGUCACAAUUAAUGGGUUUUUGCAAGUGCUAACAAGUUGAGUCUUUUCAUUUGUUACUUCAGCAAAUGUUUAUUGAGAGCUUGCUGUAUCACUCAUUUCUUGGCACGAAAAAGCUAUGUAACAAACUACCCUAAACUGUGUGGCAUUCAGCAUGAAGUAUUCUCACACUCAGGGGUCUGCAAGUUGACUGGGAAACUGUGCUGUAUGUGUCUCAUUCUGCAGCCUGGUCCUGGGACUGACAUGACACACUGUCAUUUCAGCACAUACCCAGAGCAAGUCAGGGAAGUAUAGUCUUCCCAUGAAGGCUGGGGGAGGAGGAGGGAGAGAAUAUUUGCCAAAAAAAAUAACGGAAUCCACCACAACUACUGUUUGUUUUUUUUUUUUUUUUCCCGAGACAGAGUCUAGCUCUGUCGCCCAGGCUGGAGUGCAAUGGCGCAAUCUUGGCUCACUGCAACCUCUGCCUCCCGGGUUCAAGCGUUUCUCCAGCCUCAUCCUCCUGAGUAGCUGGGGUUUCCCCCUGUUGGUCAGGCUGGUCUUGAACUCCUGACCUCAAGUGAUACACCCACCUUGGCCUCUCAAACUGCUGGGAUUACAGGCAGGAGCCACCACACCCAGCCAACAACUACUAUUUUGCCUUGUCUUGUGAGACUAGAGUUGGCGAACAGUCCUUGCUCUCAUGGGUCUUAGGUUCCUGGUGUCGAGGGGGAGAGGGUGUGUGUGGAGAGGGAAAAGAGGAAACACAAAAGCAAUAGUUGAACAAGAGAAUUUUAGAUGGUGGGUAGGUUGACUUGGUACAGAACUCCAUGAAAUUUCAUCAUGGAUAUGAUAUUUUCUUUUUGAGACGGAGUCUUGCUCUGUCGCCCAGGCUGGAGUGCAGUGGCGCGAUCUCGGCUCACUGCAACCUCCGCCUCCCAGGUUCAUGCCAUUCUCCUGCCUCAGCCUCCCGAGUAGCUGGGACUACAGGCACCCGCUACCACGCCUGGCUAAUUUUUUGUAUAUUUAGUAGAGAUGGGGUUUCACCAUGUUGGCCAGGAAGGUCUUGAUCUCUUGACCUCGUGAUCCACCUGCCUCAGCCUCCCAAAGUGCUGGGAUUACAGGCGUGAGCCACCGCGCCUGGCUGAUAUUAUUUUUACUGAGUUCUGUGAGGCCGAUAUUCUUUUCUUUGUAGCAUGACAUUGCAAUCAUUUUAUAAAUCUUGGCAAAUCUGAAUUUUGGUCUGUGGAUAAGUUGGUGGAGGUUUUAGUGGUUUGGAUCUUGUAUAAGGUCUUGCACAGUGCUGCUGGUGGUCAGGGUAUGUGAGGAGGUGCUGCCAGACCACUUCCACUGAGGUAGGGUGGGUACAUAGAUGCAUUUUUAAGUACUCCCUACAACAAAAACCAUUCCCUGGGGAAUGUAAAGUGCUGGAGGCAAAAUAAUCUGCAGAAGAAAAUCUAAAGAACCAUAUAUAUCCCAAUUAAAUUUCUGCCUCUGCUAAGCAAAUUGAGAAAAUCAGCAGUCUGGUUCCUUUUCAGCUGUGAGAAAAUUGGGAAUAGAAUACCUGACAAGGUGUGUGUUGGAGAUGACGUCAUUCGUGUAUGACAACCACAAGAGUUGCUUGUUAAGAAGCAAGUAUGCUAGUCAUUUGAUGACUUAAUCUUUUAUCUUGGCCGCCCGGGGCCUUCAGUUCAGGGUGUUGAUUUCAUCAGAACUAACCUAGAAAGAAUGAUAUGAAACUUCGUGAGUGCCCGGCCCUCCGAUGGUCCCAGCUGUCCCAGCACAAGCUGGAGUGUCUAUUGCUUUACCUGGCAGAGAGCUCCGGGCUCAGAACAGGAAAUGUGGGAGUUCUCCACCCAACUUUGACAGACGGGAGUGGAAAGGAGUGAAGCGAGCGGAAGUCUGACUUCAUUUUUGGUUUUCAGACUGUCAGACUGGAAGGGUAACUUUAAGUGGGGGCUCGCUUCCCCCCCCCCCCCCUUAGUUUUUCAUUUAUAGUUAUCACUAAAUAUAUUCCAAUGAUGGAAAAUUACGGCUUUUUACUUGCCAUUUGGCAGCUGUGCCUGUAUCUCUUUUUUAGUUUUUGGUGUGUAUUUUAAAUUUAGUUAGGAUUGAAUGGGGUGGAAUUAUGAGAUUUAAAAAAAAAUGAAGUGUUGCACUGUUAAUUUAGGGUUAGGUGCAGUAUAAAAAGACAAGUUAUAAUAGUAGCUGGCAAUUAUUGAGAGCUUAUUGUGUUCUGUGUUGCAGGUGAAGACCUUGAAAUACAUGGUAUCAUUUUUUUUAUCCUCCUUAACAUUCUAGGAGGUAGGUGCUGUAAUUAUUUUCAUAUUCUAGAUGAGGAAACUGAGGCUCAGAGAAGUUCAAUAGUUGCCCAGUUGCGAAGUUCAGUAGUGUUACCUAACUAAUGAAUGGUGGGUCGUAGAUUCCAAUUUAAUUUGUAGGUUCUGGGACCCAAAUUCUUAGAACUCUGGUUAUUUUUUAGAAAGCUGAAAAAGAUCCCGUUUUUGUUUUGUUUUGUUUUUUGAGAAAGGGUCUUUCUCUGUCACCCAGCCUAGAGUACAGUGGCACGAUCAUAGCUCCCUACAACCUCAAACUCCUGGGCUCAAGAGAUCCUCCUGCCUCAGCCUCCUGAAUAGCUAGGACUACAGGUGCAUGCUACCACACGCAGCUAGCUUUUUAAUUGCCGCACAAUUUUUUGUCUGAAAAUAUUCACAGGAUUCCCAGAGAACAGACUUAGAUAGCUGUUGAGGAGGAUAGAAAUGAAUGCACUGAAUAAUUACAAAUGGGAAUAGAAGGGCCCGGUGGAGCAGCGCAUGCUCAGCUGGAAGAGAUUAUGGGAGGUUGUUAAAUUUGCUGCUUCAGGAAUGUGCUUGCUGGUCUGUCAUUUUCUCUCCUUCCCUGACAAUAGUUUGAAUAGGAUUUGAAUUUACCAUUUGGGGCCUCGUGAUACAUUUAGGAUCUGAUCUCUUUCUCAAAAAAAAAACCCUUUAAGGGAGCCGUAUAUCCUUAUGGGGAAAUGGAUGAAAAGGAUGUGUCCUCUUGUCUGUAUCACCUCUACUCUUUGAAAAAUAUUUAAAUUUCUUAUUAACUUGAGCUUUCAGUGGGAUUGAAUUGACCUGUCUUAUUAUUUCUUGGCUCUCCUGCAUUGGGACGGUGUGAGCCACUCACCUACUAAUGACUCAUUGUAAUUAUUGGCUAUUGCUGAACUCCUCUGGACAGCACCAUUGUGUAACAAGUCCAUCUCUAGACCAUAUUGCAUUUGUUAUUUAUGUUUUUGCUUAUCUCAGCACCUUUAUGGAAAUGUGUUUCUUGUUGUCUGUCUUCACCAGGGAGAAGCCAAGGCUGAGUGACUCAUCAGAGGAUCACGGUUCCUUCCGAGUUUUCUAGAGCCUGCAGUAUGGGCAAGAGUUGAGGGUCAGUGGGGAACAGACAAUGUUUUUGUCCCCGAGAAACUUAUAUGUGGAUGGAGGAGCUUUCUGUCUAAGAACUCCAUGCCCCUCAGGUUUAGCACCUGACCACUUAACCCUUUGUUUCUUUCCCAUGGUUAAGGGAAACAAUGAGUUAAUUUCCUCUCUGCAAAUGACUGGUCUUUGUGGAGGACAGAGGAAAGAGGAAUGGAGCCAGUGAUUGAAGUUUGUUCAUUCAUUGAUGUGUGUAAGUUACAGUCAGCUGUUGGCUAGAUAGCCUCAGUGAAACCCACUUCAUGUGCCUAGAGAGUCCCCUCCUGUUGAAGGUACACAGGGCUUGUGCACCACUUUAAGAGUGUGGUAGAAGUGAUGAUACUGUGAUUCCAGCUAAGCAAUUUGAGCCAGCACCCAGCUGUCUGAGCCAUUCUAGCUGGGACCCCAGAUGGUUCACCCCAACAGAUAGCUCAGGGAGCUGAGACAGAAGAUACUGCAUUCCCUGUUCACAUUCUAAAUGCACAGAGUUGUAAGAGAGAUGAAAUGGUGGUUGGUUGUUCUAAGCCACUAAGUUUUGGGUAGUCUGAUAUAAAACAGUAGAUAAUUGAAACAGAUACAUUCAAGAAGUCUUUAGUCAGCACCCAGGGUGGACCGACUGGGUUGCCUGUCUACCUCAGGGGGUGCUUAGCAUAUGAGGAGGGGAGAUACUAAUAAGCAUUUCUAAGUUGAAAGUAUUUUGAAAAGGGCACUGAGUCUCUCACUCUUUGCUGUGUUCUAGAGCAUUGCAUCUUGGAACCACUCACUUUCAUGCUUUAGUCAUUUACCAGUGUUUUUUUUUUUUUUUUUGAGAUGGAGUCUUGCUUUGUCGCCCAGGCUGGAGUGCAGUGGUGUGAUCUCGGCUCAUUGCAACCUCUGCUUUCCAGGUUCAAGUGAUUCUCAUGCCUCAGUCUCCCAAGUAGCUAGGAUUACAGGCACCCACCACCACGCCUGGCUAAUUUUUGUAUUUUUAGUAGAGAUGGGGUUUCACCAUGUUGGCCAGGCUGGUCUCGAACUCCAGACCUUUAGUGAUCUGCCCAUCCCUGCCUCCCAAAGUGCUGGGAUUACAGGCUUGAGUCACUGCAUCCGGCCUACCAUAUUUGUUUUAGUGUCUCAUGGCUGUGGGUUGUCCUCUCUUAUUUAGGAGAUGGUAAACUUCUUGAGGGCAGGCAGGGAAUUACCUUUCUUCUCUGGGGAGGGAGCACAGACUAGAGGUUAUGGGCAUGAACCUUGCAAUCAGGUAGAAUUUUGUUCCAUUUCCAGGGUUAGCUAAUUGUGUUACCUGGGAGAAGUUGACUUACUGACCCCAAGCUAUGUGUGUGUGUGAGUGAUUUAUUAGCUACAGGUAAUGCUUACUUCACAGAGUCUGAAAAUGAUGUAAGAUGAUGUCACACAGUGGUUGAUGAGAUCACACUUGAACUGCCUAACUCACAGGCUUGUGAUCAAGUUUCAUUCAAUUUGAUUAAAAGAAAAUUAAGCGUAUCAAGGGUGUAAAGGCUACAAUGGUGAACAAGUUUUUGGGUUCAGUCCAUGGAGGCUUGAACAGUGCUUGGCACCCAAUUAGUGCCCCAUAACUAUUUGUUGAAUGAAAGACUAAUGUGUGAAGUGUGUUUCUCUGUGAGUUAUUCUUGUUCAGUAGGUGUUCAGUAAGGGCUUGCUGGUUCUUCUAAUUGCCUGUGGGUUUCUGCUGCAAAUCACCCAUCUCUAGCUACAUGGGUUCUUGUUCUGUCAACAUAGGUCCACACCCUGUGGAAUAAGUGAGGCAGAGGUGUCAUUUUAAGCCUCAGUGGGGAAACUGGUAUCAGAUGGGUUGCUGGUAAAACCAUGUAAAGCAAAAAAAAGAAAAUGAGUAAUCUGUCAUUUAUAAGCAGCUCCAUGUGGCCUGCUGUGAUGGCUCUCAGUUAAAUGGGAUGCUCUUAGACAUUUCAUUUGCAUAUGAAGCAUCUGGAAAUAAAGCUGUAAUGAAGCCAGGUGCAUGUAGUCCCAGCACUUUGGGAGGCUGAGGCAAGAGGAUCGCUUGAGCACAGGAGUUCUAGACCACCCUGGGCAAUAUAGUGAGACCCUGCCUCUACUAAAAAUAAUUAAAAAAAACAUAGCCAGGCAUGAUGGCGUGUGCCUGUAGUCCCAUCUACUCAGGAGGCUGAGGCGGGAGGAUCUUUUGACCCAGGAGAUUGAGGCUGCAGUGAGCCAUGAUCAUGCCACUUCACUCCAGCCUAGGUGAGAGAGUGAAACCCUACAAUAACAACAACAACAAUAAAAAUAAAGCCGAAAUGAUGCCCAGAUUCUUGGAAAGAGAAAGGAAUUUCUGAUAAAGUCUCUGCCCCUUGUUCCCUUGUUGUCUUUCCUGGAUCUGGAAGGCGUUGGUGGUAUUGAGGGUUUUAUUACUCAAAAUAUGGUCCAUGUGCCAACUAGCAGCUUUCACAUCUCCCGAGAGCUUGUUAAAUACAGAAUUUUGGUUGCCCUCCCAGAUGUAUUAGAUGAUAAUCUGCAUUUUAACAAGAUCCCCUUGGAAGGGUCCUUGGAAAGCUUUGGUUAGACAGUCCUGGUAUUGAAGGGAAGCAGAGUGUUGGAAAUCAAGGGAAAGGUACUGCUUUCUGGCAGGCAAGACAUAGCUACCACAGUUCACUGUUUUUUGCUCAGGUUUUCUUCAAUGCAAACUGCACUCAGUCCAUGUUAUUUCACCACAGACAAUAAAGGCUAGUACUCAAGGAUCUGGAGGAGUAGAGGAAAUACUUGUACUAAAUAAUCUAUGGAAGGACUGUCUUUGUCAAGAUAUAGGUGAGUCACUGUUUCCUUAGAUGUGCAACUGUGUGGGUUAUUCAAGAAAGGGAGAGCUGACAUUUAUGAAGUGCCUAUUAUAUGCCAGUUAGUGUAUGAGGUACCUUCUGUGCAUUUUUUCAUCUGAUUCUCCUACAACUUCUUGAGGAUGUUAUGGUUUUGUGAGGUUAACUUACCCAUGACCAAACUCCGACUUUCUCUGGCACCCAAACCCUUCCAUGCCAUCAUCUUGCAUGCUUGUUUCUCAUGGCAUUCGGAUUUAUGUAUUUUUAUUUUUAUUUAUUUAUUUUGAGAUGGAGUUCUGCUCUUGUCACCCAGGCUGGAGUGCAGUGGUGCGAUCUCGGCUCACUGCAACCUCUGCCUCCUGGGUUCAGGCAAUUCUCCUGCCUCAGCCUCCCGAGUAGCUGGCAUUACAGGUGCCUGCUGUCAUGCCCAGCUAACUUUUGUAUUUUUAGUAGAGAUGGGGUUUCACCAUGUUGGCCAGGCUGGUCUCAAACUCCUGACCUCAGGUGAUCCACCCACCUCGGCCUCUCAAAGUGCUGGGAUUACAAUCACGAGCCACCGUGCCUGGCCUGGAUUUAUUUUUUAAACUGAUACCACCGUGUGAUUUAGGGAAGAGUCUAAGCAAGAAAGAUAUCUAGAUCAAAACUCAUAUUUGGUCAGUCAGAGCAAAGUCUUAAAAUGUUGUAGUGUUUGUUAAGUAUUAGAAUUUCAUUGCAUCAGAAACAGGCCAGGAGGUAGUCUGCUUGCAUUAGCUCACCCAAGCUAUUUCCUCAGUUUCCUGGGAACAAGAAAAAGCGACGUCUGGUUCUGUCACCUAGGUUUCAUAAGUACACUGACACUGGAGAGGAACACUUUCAUAGUACCAUUGAGGAAGGACACUCAGAAAUGGUAUUGGAGGCAGAAGUGUCAAAUGUAAGUCACUUGGAAACCAGCUUCAUGAGUUUUGCCAUAUUCAUAUAUUACAGUAUCAUUAACUUUCUUUUUUUUUUUUUUUUACCUUUUUUUUUUUUUUUUAGACAGAGUCUCUCGCUCUGUCGCCCAGACUGGAGUGCAGUGGCAGAUCUCAGCUCAUUGCAACCGCCACCUUCUGGGUUCAAACAAUUCUCCUGCCUCAGCUUCCUGAGUAGCUGGGACUACAGGCGCAUGCUACCACGCCUGGCUGAUUUUUGCAUUUUUAGUAGAAAUGGAGUUUCACGCUGUUGGCCAGGCUGGUCUCCAACUCCUGACCUCAAGUGAUCUGCCCACCUUGGCCUCCCAAAGUGCUGGGAUUACAGGUGUGAGCCACCGUGCCCAGCCUCAUUUACUUUUAUUUUUUAGAGACAGGGUCUCACUCCAUCACCCAGGCUGGAGUGCAGUGAUAUGAUCAUAGGUCACUGCAGGCUCAAACUCCUGGGCUCAAGUGAUUCUUUUGCCUCAGCCUCCCAAGUAUCUAGGACGACAGGCAUGCACCACCACAUCCAGCUGAGAUCUGAGAUUCAAAAUCAGAAGGUUUGAUAGAGAAUUAGAAAGGAAAUAAUUUUUCCCAAAAUAUGAUUUACCAUUAUUUAUUUCUGUAUCUGUAUAUAUACCACCUAAGUUCUUCUGCACAAUGGCCUAUAUAUUUGAAGAUGACUAAGUUUUUAUAGUCAGCAUUCUCUUUCUGAGCAGGUCCAGUUUACAACACUUGGCCUUUAGGAAUGUUACGUUAUACUGGGUUCAGGCUCAUCAUAGUUACUCUGUGCUAAGAGGCAAACCGGCUCAAAGGAACAUCAUGCCAUAGCAGGAACUGAAAUCUGAAGAAUGAAUCUUGAAGCAUGUGCUUGAGAAUGGCCUGACAGCUAUGCUCAUCUGGUGUUAGAAGCUUCGGCUAAACAAGGAGAGUCUCCCUUACCAGAGGGUCAUUCUUUGGUAGGCGGUACUCAUCCUAAGAGACUUGUAAAUCUUCCGUUAGGGAACAAGCCUGAGCGGUUGAUUUAGAUGUUGGUCUUCCCUCAGUAACCUCCCUAAUCUUUAACUUUUCCAUUUUUGCCAGUGGUGGAAUGCUGACCGAGAACCUGCCUGGUAUUUAUAGUACUUGGAGCAAGAUACUGAACUUGAGUUCAUGAUCCCGCACCUUGCCGUGGUGACUUGUAUUACCUCUUUCUUUCCCUCCCCUGCCUCACGUUAAUCUCACUCAGGUCUUGCCAGCUCUUCCUCCUGUGUCUGCUACUUCCUCUUUAUUUCCUCACAAGAUAAUCCUCUUCAUUAUCAUCAUCAUCAUCAUCAGAUCUCUAGACUUUAGUCAUUCUUGAACUACUUUCUUAAUUUCUUCAUAUCUGUGUACCACCUGAACCAGUUUUAUUUAUAUUUUUCUUUCAAUCAAAUUACUUCUUAAACUUUAGUCUGUAAAAACUGUAAAAUCAUAGGUUUUAUAUGACAGCUAACUUUCCCCAAAUAUUCAGUAAAAUGAACACAACAACUGUAUAACAUUAAAAAAUUAUGUCUGGGUCAGGUGCAGUGGCUCAUGCCUGUUAAUCCCAGCACUUUGGGAAGCUGAGGUGGGCGGGUCACUUGAGGCCAGGAGUUCGAGACCAGCCUGGCCAAUGUGGCAAAACCCUGUCUCUACCAAAAAUACAAAAAUUAGCCGGGUGUGGUGGCUGGUGCCUGUAAUCCCAGCUACUCGGGAGGCUGAGGCAGGAGGAUCACUUGAACCCAGGAGGUGGAGUUUGCAGUGAGCCGAGAUCAUGCCACUGCCCUCCAGCCUGGGUGGCAAAGCUAGACUCCAUCUCAAAAUAGAUAAAUAAAUAAAAAUAAAUUUAUGUCUGGUAUUACAAAUUCAUCUCACGUACCACUCCUGGCUCAUGUACUGUUUAUACUAAUCUUUGACCUAUAGCAGUGGUUCUCCACAGUAGCAUUACAUUAGACUCAUGUGGGAAGAUAUAAAAAAAUACCAAUGCCUCAUGCUUCACUGAUUAAAUCAAAAUUUAUGGGAAUGGAGUACAGAACUUCUAAAAAGUUCAUUGGACAAGUCUAGCGUGCAGCCAGAAUUUAAAAACACUGAGCUGAGAAUGUGGUCAAAUAUCCUUCCCAUCUUCACUCUCUACCUGUUUGAAUGUAUGUUUUACAUUAUUUCUAUAUAAAUCCUCUUAAAAUCUUCCAUGUUUGAGGCUUACUGGUUAUAUAAAGGCAGUGACAGUGCUUUGAAUAGUGUCUGCAUAGGAAGCAUUUUAAAUGUGUAAUUUUGUGAUGGAGCGUUGGUAUAAAACUGAGCAAACCUAGGUUCUUGGCUCUGUCCUUCGACUUAUUAACUUGAGGAUUACAGGCAGUUGUCUGCAUCUUUCUGAGCCUUAGUUAAGUCAGCUGUCAGAUGGGGAGACUAAUCCUUACCAGGCAUAUCUCCCAGAAUUGAGUAAGGGUCGAAUGAGAAAAUAUAUUUUUAAAAUGGUCUGUUAACUGUCUUCAGGGAAUCAGGGCAUAAAAAUAUUGUUAAUAAGUCAGUGGGUGGGGGUGGUGAUAAAAAAUAGAAUAGGAAAAGUUUGAGGACAAAAUAUUUCAUAUUAGGUGUGAUAAUUCUUAAAAAUGAGUUCUUUCUAAUUAUAAUGAUAGAAGCUGUGCCAUGUUUUUGCUCUUGGACUGUUGAUUGUCCUCAGAAUGAGACAGCUGGGCUCAUCUUAGUGCUUGAACUGAACAACAGCUGCUAAUUACAACUCAAGGAAAAACUACAGGCUGAUCUGAUUAUGGUUUCUAGAGGUUAGACUCCCUUUCACUGUAUCUCAUUGUGUUCUUUGUUGUGUUUCUGCUAUGGUAGGUUAACUCUGGUUUUGCCCUCAUUUGUAGGUAGAUUCCUGGAAGUGGCACAUCUCUACGUUGUUAGUAGAAAUCUUGCCUUGCAGCCGCUGAUGGCUCAUCUGGAGUGAUGUGACUGAGGAGAGACCUCCACCCUCCCAAUCUGCCACUGUACUUAGGGGUAUUGUCUGCAUAACCCCCUUCACUGGGGCCAGUCGCCAACAUUGUCAACAGCACAGUUAUGCCUGCUUUAACUUUCACCUCAAAAAUAGCUGACCACUCUGGCUUCUGUGUUGAAUGAAAAAAAAUAGGAUGUCACCAACACAAAUGGAUAUCCUGAAUUUCGGGACAAGUGUAGAUUUGAGUAACUUGUAGGGGUCCCUGAAUGUUUCCUGGUACUUACUGACUUUGUUUUCAUACUUGAUUGGAAUGUCUUGAGCCCCAAAUAGGCUCUGAAAAGCUGAGAGGUUUUUUGUUUUGUUCAUUUUUUAAGCUUUUAACAAUGUGUUCAGAUAAUAACUUACACUUAUAUCUUCAACCCGUUUUCAGAUUCAUGGUCUUAUUUUGUCCUUAUAACACUAGGAGGCAGGGGCAUGCAAGUGCAGGGGCAGUCCUUGAAUUUAUUUACAGUUUUGAUAUGUAAUUCGUGAUGGACUUUACCACACUAAUUUUUAUUUUUAAAAGUACUGUAGUCGGGAGCAGUGGCUCAUGACUGUAAUCUCAAUACAUUGGGAGGCCAAGGCAGGCAGAUUGCUUGAGCCCAAGAGUUUGAGACUAGCCUGGGCAAUGUGGGGAAACCCCAUCCCUACAAAAAAUGCAAAAUUAGCUGGGCAUGGUGGUACUCACCUGUAGUCCCGAAUUGCUUGGGCCCAGGAGGCAGAGGUUGCAGUGUGUGGGGAUCAUGCCAUUGCACUCCAGCCUGGGUGACAGAGUAAGACUCUGCCUUAAAAAAGAAAGGAAAGAAAAGCAGGCAGGCAGGAAGGAAGAAGUGAAAGUAUUGCAUUAAUUCUUAAUUCUUGAGGGUUUUGGUGCCUCUUAAAUUUUGCACCCAAGGUAAGUGGCUCGCCUGCCUCACCCUAGUUCCUACCCUGGCCUCCCACCUCUAAUGUGCAGUUACCUACAUCUUAGCUUCAUAUGCCAAGCACUGUGUUCGUUGACUUACAAAUGUCUGUUAUGUCUUUGAUUUAAUCCUUAUACCAACCCUGAGGGGUCGGUACUGAUGCCAUCUCCAUUUCAUCUAGGAUACUAGAGCACAUGACAAGGUGCAUGCCUUGCCCAAGGAUGCACAUUAGGAAUAGCAGAGUUCAAGCUCUUCCCUCCCAAAGUCACAUGAGUGAAAUGUGUAGCUAUACUGGUAUCCCUUGACAGGUAGGCUUAAAAUCCCUUCUUUAGGCCAGGCGCGGUAGCUCACGCCUGUAAUCCCAGCACUUUGGGAGAUCGAGGCGGAUCACUUGAGGUCAGGAGUUCGAGACCAGUCUGGCCAACAUGGCAAAACCCCGUCUCUACUAAAAAUGUAAAAAUUUAGCCGAACAUGGUGGCGUAUACCUGUAGUCCCAGCUACUCUGGAAACUGAGGCAGGAAAAUCACUUGAACCUGGGAAGUGGAGGUUACAGUGAACUGAGAUCAUGCCACUGUACUCCAGCCUGGGCAACAGAGUUAGACUCUGUCUCAAAAAAAAAAAAAAAAAAUCCCUUCCUUAAUUGCACUACUUACCUUCAUUGUAAAGAAUGGACAGCUGAUAAAAAUUACAUUAUUCUCAAAGUACCAGUCCAGAAACAGCUUGUAAGAAGACCGUUGGACUAUCACAAGCUAAACAUAAAUAAUGUGACACCUAUCUUAAAGAAUAUUUACGCAAAAAGCUUCUAAGGUGCCAGACGACAUUUCAAACACGAAUAACAACCCACAGGAGAAAACAAUCUCAGCUUCCCAACCUGAGCCAGAACCAAGCUUUUGGAAAUCCUGGUAAGGCCUGCACACAUCUUGAAAAGGAAAUCGGGUGCAUCCAGAAUGAAAGGACCAAGGCUGUGUGCACUUGCACCUGGGGAACAUCAAGGCAAGAGCUAAUUUUAGGACUGGCUGUCCUGCUCCUGCCCUUUAUCUUAAUUACAUACUUCUGUUAAUAGAGCUUAGCAAUUGGCCCUGAUUCAGAUGCAAGAGACAAAUUCAGGUGCACAUCUCAACUCAUCUAGGGAUAAAAUUAGCGUUUAGGUUGUAAGGGUAUUUAUAGAAUCUAUUUCUUCAGCUGAGCUUAGAUAUUUCUACUAAGAUAAGACAAUCUUUUUUUUUAAAAGUUAAUAUGGGUAAAAUUGGGACUACAUCAACAGAAAAAAACAAUGUCAUUUAUCAAGGAUGGUAUAUAAGUUUCAUGUGCCAAUUCCAAUAGAGAAUGAUGUUGCAAACAUGCCUGUGUUUAGUGAGAAGAGGCACCAUGAUCAAUCAGCUAUGUCUGGCUGGAAAUGGAAGGAAAUGACCACAAACAUCUGGCCCAUUUGCUCCUUCUAUCCUAUACCCUUUUACCCUUGAGCUGAUUCUCCAAAAGCCAAUGAAGGGCAGAGAAUCUAUCAACUAGGGAAGACGUCUUUACAAAUACAGCAUUUAAUACAUUCUUCUUGACUAACAGUUCUAAGCCAAGUCACUGAGCAUGUUCAAAUGGGGCACUAGUUUAAUUGCUUUAGUUUCAAAAUUGCCAUUUUCUAUUUCCAGUUUUCUUGGGUUUUCUGCAGUGCCACUCACUAUCCUUUUCAUCUGAACUCAGAGAUGCAAAAAAUGUGAGCCAAACUGGGUCUAUCCCAACUGACUACUGAAAACCACCCCCUCUCCUUGCUCUCUUGUGAGCAGAGCUUCCAUUGUUCUGAGACAAUAUGACAUUUCCUCCAAACAGGUAGUUAGUAAAUAAACCAUCAAAUACUGGAAACGAUGUUUAUUUUAAGUUUUCAAAGUACCAGGGGAAAAAAAGACGAGAGAUUUCCACUUAAGAAAGUCUAUUAGUCCUGUCCUUAUUUCAAAAAUGUUCAAUUCCAUGUAAUCUUUUGGAGUAUGAUACCUAAAGGAAUUUUCAAUGAGACUUGAGACAGGUGCAUUUCCAGCUUUUCUCAAUUGCUUGGUGUGUACAUUUCCAAGGAGGAGCCUGUAUACCAACUAAUUCUAACUCUCAAAGUCCAUUGAGAACAUUUCUGCAUAUGACCAAAAUGAUCAGGCUACCAAACUGGCCACUAUGAUCAUUCUAGCUGUUCUCAUAAGAGAUUAAAUUCAUGAACAAGGUGUCAGCUUGAAUGCUUCUCUGGCCUUACUUGACCUGCCACCUCCCAUUCAUAUAAUGUUAACAAUAACUUGUCAUGUGUUUGUGAAACACUGUGAACUUCUCCAUCCAAUAAUAUUCAGUAUGUUUCCAGUCACAUGGUCAGGGUAAAGUCAUGGCUAUCUCGCUCCUCACAGAAAUCAAGAGAGUAACAGAGCCUUUUGAAAGUCACACAUGCUCAGUAAAUGAGGAAACACUGGGGUUGACAUCAGUACCAAAGCUGGGGUAGGAAGGGCUACUACAGAGAACUGGAUGGAGAGUUAGAAGGCCUGGGGCCUCUGCCCCAUUUUAAAUGAACCUCAGACAAGACCUCCAAAUAUCUGUCCUCAAGUUGCUUCAUCUACAAAGAAAAGAGAAAACUUCCCCUUGUCUCCAUGGUACAAAAUUAAUCUGAGAAUGAAAUGGUAUUUUGUGCCAGGCAUGGUGGUUCACACCUGUAAAUCCUAACACUUUGGGACGUUGAGGCUGGAGAAUCACUUGGGCCCAGAAGUUCAAGACCACCCUGGGCAACAUAGUGAGACUCCUAUCUCUAAAAAAAAAAAAAAAAAGAAAAAAAAAUUAGCAAGGCAUGGUGGUGCAUGCCUGUGGUCCCAGCUACUCCCGAGAGUAAGGCUGAAGUGGGAGGAUCACUUAAGCUGGGGAGGCUGAAGCUGCAGUGAGUGGUGAUCGUAACACUGUACUCCAGCCUGGGCGAUAGAGUGAGACCCUGUCACACACACACACACACACACACACACACACACACACAUUUUAUUUUGAAAAUAUUAUAUUAAACGUGUUUUAAAAGAAGGAGAGGGGAAAUAUGAACAUGCAGAUUGGUCAUCACAGUUCCAUGAAGCACUUACAUCCCAGUAUCAACAGAAUUUUUAAUAAAUAAAUGGUGUGUUUGAGGAUCCAUGAAUGCAAAACCGCAUCUUUCUACUAACCACCAGAUUCCUAGUACCCAACACACUAUUUAUAUAGUUUUUAGAUGGUGUCUCACUCUGUCACGCAGGCUGGAGUGCAAUGGCACAAUCUUGGCUCACUGCAACCUCUGCCUCCUGGCUUCAAGUGAUUUUCCUGCCUCAGCCUCCCAAGUAGCUGGGAUUACAGGUUCCUGCCACCAUGCUUGGCUAAUUUUUGUAUUUUUAGUAGAGAUGGGGUUUCACCAUCUUGGCCAAGCUGGUCUUGAACUCCUGACCUCAGGUGAUCCACCCGCCUUAGCCUCCCAAAGUGUUGGGAAUUACAGGCAUGAGCCAUUGUGCCCGGCCUACACUACCUUUUAAGAAGGCACUCAAUUACUAUUUGAUGAGUAAAAUAUGACAACAUGAGUACUUCCUGGGUGCUAGGUACGACUUCAAGUACUUUAGAUGCAUUAACUCAUUCAAACCUCCCACCAACUUAUAAACUGUACUAUUAUAAUCACCUUAUGGGGUGAGUACCAUCACUAUUCCCAUUUUACAAAUAUAAAAAACUGAAACAUAAAGAAGUUAAGUAAUUUGGCAAAGUUACCCACCCUGGAAGCGGCCAUUGUCAACUAAUGUUCUCUCUAGGAGGAGUGCUGAGUGACUGUGUUAGCCAGGGCAUCAGUGAAUAAGUGACAGAAUAAUUGGGAGGGAGAGAGAGAUAAGGAGGGGUGGGGAAAUGACUUAUUUAAAAGACUGCUAUCAAACUCUAAUUUCAUUUUUAAAAAAUUUUAAAACAUAAUAUUCACCUAAAAAGAAACUGUAUUUGGAGAAGAGCACCGAAACUUAGAAUCAGGCUAUCUAAAUCUCAUUGUCUGUUGAAAUUCUUUUCAUCCAAACUAUGUGAGUGAAUUUUAAAAGACAGAAAAGUCCAGAGUUGAAAUGCUCACCAGUGGUUUUAAAGUCAUUUCACAGAGAGGCCUCGGAGAGUCUCAUUGUACUCCACAUUAUUCACAUAAAAGAACUUCACUUAAUUUUCCCCAGCUUCAAAGGAGAGCACUACUAAACAUUGGUUCAUAAAUCAGUAACUACUGAAGCAGAAGGCAAGACCAGAGAAAUAAAUUAUAUGCACAUAUAAAGAAAAGCAAAUAUUUAUGUCAGAAGGCAAACAAGUUUUACUUUAUGAUGUGUCUUGAACUUUUCCUCUAUUCUGAGAAACCCCUUGCAUUAAAAUAUUCAUUUUCCCAGCCUGGGCAACAAAGCAAGACCCCAUUUCAACAAAAACAAAAAUAACCUGGGCAUGGCAGCAUGAGCCUGUGGUCCCAGCUGUUCAAAAGGCUGCUGCAGAAGGAUCCCUUGAGCCCAGGAGUUGGAGGUUGCAGUGAGCUAUGAUUGUGCCACUGUACUGUAGCCUAGGUGACGGAGGGAGAGCCUGUCUUUAGAAAAAUAAAAAAAUAAAAAAUCAUUUUCCUUACUGUUAAGAAACAAACAAACAAAAAUAUAUAUUUUUUGAAGUAAGCCAGGACUUGUGCUCUCAGGACCUCUCAUGAGAGCUUUUAGUACCUGGGAUGCAUCAGUCACAAAGGGCUUCAAAUGUAGAUUUUUGGCACUGGUGCCUACUGAGCUUAGAUAUACAGUCACUAUAAUGGUGACUGAAAUGACAAUACAAUCAUUACGAUGUUACACAUGAGCCCUAUUACCAGACCACACACUCUACAAUACAAGACACUGAUAAUUAAUAUUUUUUAUGAGACCAUAAUUGUCUCGUAAUGGCAGUCACUCCACGUGGCAUAUUAUGUAGGCAUUAAAAGCAUUGAUUUAUUAGGUAUUGAUAUUUAAAAUAUACCAUCAUUUUUACAGCUGUAUUCUGGCAUUUCUUCCCUUUUUAAAUGCACCAUGGAAGUUGCCCAGGUGUCUCUGGACUUCUGCUCAGGGUGGAUGGCAUGAAGCAUUUCCCUGGUGAGAAGGAGAAAGGUCAAGAGCAGGACUCUGCCUUUUUUUCUGUAAAAUGCACCUUGCAGAUGAUAGACCUUGCACCAAAGAAGGGGCAUGUGGCAUGCCCAAAUGUCGGCCAAGAGAUAAGCAGAGGGUGGGAAUUAAAACCCCAGGCCAGUCUCAGGCUGAGAGGAUCAUGGAAGCCUUCUUCCUAAGUCAAGACCUCUUCCCAAAGCCACAGGAGAGGGCCGAUGCUCAGGGAACUCGACCAAGAGGUGCAGGCACUUGUUAGAGUAAAUCCAGCUCUGGUCAAAAUGGCACUGCAGGAAAAAUCUUCCUUCACUGUUUUAUUUUAAGUUACAUAGUGAAAGUCUCCAACCCUGCAAGGGGAGAAAGUGUUUUAAGAGAUUGGUCUCUGGAGGCAGACAGAUGCCUCGACUUACGAGACCUGAUACAAAUGAUAAACUCUAUGUAAAAUACAUACAUGCUAUCUCUUGAGCAUUUAAUACUGUAUUAGUCUGUUCUCACACUGCCAAUAAGGACAUACCUGAGACUAGGUAAUUUAUAAAGAAAAAUAGGUUUAAUGGACUCACAGUUCCACAUGGCUGGGGAGGCGGCACACUCAUGGUGGAAGGUAAAAGACAUGUCUUACAUGGCAGCAGGCAAAAGGAAAAAAUAAGAACCGAGCAAAAGGGGUUUCCCCUUAUAAAACCAUCAGUUCUUGUGAGACUUAUUCACUACCACCAGAGCAAUAUGGGGGAAACCACCCCCAUGAUUCAGUUAUCUCCCACCGGGUGCCUCCCACAACACGUGGGAAUUAUGGGAGCUACAAUUCAAGAUGAGAAGGGUGAGGACACAGCCAAACCAUAUGAAGUACUAACCACAUAUAUCUAAUACAGUCUCUCAUAUAAUAUUUUAUAAGUCUGUGAGGGGCUAUUAUUAUCUCAAUUUUACAGAUGAUGAAACUGAAGGCAAGUUGUUUGUUCAAUGUCAGGCAGGAUUUGAGAAACCAGAAUCAGAAUCUGAAGUCAGCAUAACUCCAAAGUUAUGCUUAAUGGUCAUAUUUUACCAACUCCUCAAAAAAGCCGAAGUGGGAGCCAAAAGGUUCACCUGCUUGCUAAAGCAGUACUGUCCAACAGAACUUGCAGUGAUGUUUAAAAUGUUCUACAGUGGAGCUAUCCAAUAUAGAAGCUAAAAGCCACACAUGGCUACGGAGCUCUUGAAAUAAAUGUGGCUAGUGUGACUAGGAAAUUAAAUUUCUUUUCUUUCCUUUUCUUUUUUUUUUUUUUUGAGAUGGAGUCUCACUCUGUCACCCAGGCUGGAGUGCAGUGGCGUGAUCUGCAACCUCCGCCUCCCGGGUUCAAGUGAUUCUUCUGCCUCUGCCUCCCAAGUACCUGGGAUUACAGGCACACGCCUUGAUGCCCAGCUAAUUUUUUUGGAUUUUUAGUAGAGACUGGGUUUUACUAUGCUGGCCAGGCUGGUCUCGAACUCCUGACCUCAAGUGAUCUGCCUGCUUUGGCCUCCCAAAGUGCUGGGAUUACAGGCAUGAGCCACUGCACCUGGCCGGGAAAUUAAAUUUCUAAUUCUAUUUCAUUUUAAUUCAUUUAAUUGUAAUUAUUUAGAUUUAAGUAGAAUAAACAUUGGACGGGGUAAGCUCUACAGCACAUAUAUAAUCUGUGGCUGUGCUUGCACUAAUAAGCGAGCAUUCCAACUCUCAGGCCAGGGCCUCUUCCACAAUACCAAACAUUAGGGGACCUGUGUACUAACUAGUUCUCUUAUAUAUACCCAUCAUUUAACCAGUCUGCACCUCAGCUACUGAUAAGCAACUCUGUGCUAAGUCACAAUGACUUCUCUAUCUUGCCUUUUUUUUUUUUUUUGAGAUGGAGUCUCAGUCUCUUGCCCAGGCUGGAGUACACAGUAGGGCGAUCUUGGCUCGCUGCAACCUUCACCUCCUGGGUUCAAGCGAUUCUCCUGCCUCAGCCUCUCGAGUAGCUGGGAUUAUAGGCGUGCACCACCAUGUGUGGCUAAUUUUUGUAUUUGUAGUAGAGACGGUGUUUCACCAUGUUGGCCAGGCUGGUCUUGAACUCCUGACCUCAGGUAAUCUGUUCACCUUGGCCUGCCAAAAUGCUGGGAUUAUAGGCGUGAGCUACCACACCCAGCCAUUACCUGUUUAUUUUUCAUAUACCUAUGUGCUAUAUUUCAAAUGAUCUCCAAAAGUAUGGCUUAGAGAGGCUAAGUAAUUUGUCCAGUGUCACACAGCUAAUAAGGGGCAUGACCCAGAAUUUAAAACACCUAACUUUUUGGCCCCAGCUUUUUAAAAGCUGGACCUUAAAGCCACCACUGUUUGCUUGUAUAAUUAAUCCCACCACUGUUCACUUGUCCCACCCUCAUCCAGAUGUGUCGGUUGCCCAGGGACAAGGCCAUGUGCUGAAGGCCAUGUGCUCAGCAGCUUUUCCGGGAAUGAUGGUCAGUUUGUAGUGACCCACUCUAGAGGCCAGUUCCUCUUUAAUCACCCGCACAUACUUUCAAGAUGACUCUCUGGAGUCCAGGGUGCUGCUUAAUAUUGGAAUAUUGCUGAGCUCACAGUUUAUUGAGAAGACUGAUUCUGAAUUUUUGGUCUCUUGGCCUGGUGCUGGAGCCAUCUGAGCUAUGCAGCCCGACACUGGAGUAAUUGGCAUGUCCUAUUAACACCUAAGCUUUUCCUUUAUGAGCACCCUUUGGAUUGCAAGCCAUCAAGUUUAUCUACCUAUCGACUCUUUGCAGAGGUGUCACAUGGUUCCCAGUUUCUGAUCCUGACCUGCAUUCUGAAAACAAAAUGAGGAACAAAGAAAGAGAAAGGAUAUUCAUUUCUUUGGGUACUUCAAGGUUCUAAUGAAUGAAACAGAAAUGCUGCCAUUAAAAUUCCCUGAAGCAAGACAACAGUGAGUUUUACUAGCACAUCACCAAAGAAGUUAAUCAGGUUUCCUUGGGGUUGCUGGGCUACGUUGCUUUGAAGAAAAAUAGCACUUCCCUGAAGAGUAAGAAUAGCUGAAACCACAUGUCCCAGCGAGCUUUCAGCCAACUGCUCCUGAAGGAAACGGAAUUUAACUGCGAGAAUGGUUUUUGUUGGAUGACGUUUUGAUUAAGCAACAGGCUACUUUUCCACCCCGGGAAUGUGAUCAUUUGAAGAUAGAUAUAUUAUGACCCAAAUAGAAGCUGGAGUAGAAGGAAGGGCUUGUAGGCUGAGGUUAUGCCUUAUUUGGUAAAUUACUAUAAGAAAAUUGAACUGGGUGAGUUUAAUAUUCAGUCCUUAUUUUCUGUUCCAGACAUCUUGAUAUCUCUGUGAGUAGCUGUGGGGGGUGGCGGGGGGGGGGAAGAAAAGAAAAAAACUUUGGCUGUUCUUUCUAACUUGACUUCUUUUUCCAGAAUUUUAAAAAAACGUGAGUGAGAUGGAUAGUUGGGCUCAGUGAAUGAAGGAAGAGAUGCUUUCUGAGUCCUCGAAAUUAUUGCUUUGUGAAUGAAGAAAUUAAGAGCUGAGCCAGGCGUGGUGGCUCACACCUGUAAUCCCAGCACUUUGGUAGGCUGAGGAGGGCAGAUCACUUGAGGUCAGGAGUUUGAGACCAGCCUGGCCAACAUGAUGAGACCCCGUCUGUACUAAAAAUACAAAAUUAACUGGGCGUGGUGGCGCAUGCCUGUAAUCCCAGCUACUCAGGACGCAAGGCUGGAAAAUUGCUUGAACCUGGGAGGCGGAGGUUGCAGUGAGCUGAGAUUGCACCAUUGCACUCCAGCCUGGGCAACAAGAGUGAAACUCCAUCUCAAAAAGAAAAAAAAAAAAAAAAAAGAAAUUUUGAGCUGAGUCACCCCAUUGUAGGAUUUCAGAUGACACUUGCAGUGAUGGAACUGAGGAUACUGUUAGGAAUGGGGGAUAGGAUCCCUGGGUUGGAAGUAUUUGGGGUAUGAUAGGAGAGAAAAAGGAAGUCCACCUAGGCUAGGAGACAGUCAGCUCCCUCCCCUGGCCUUCUCUUCCAAGCAUUCUAGGCUCCUGGAGAUUCAGCAGUGAGCAAGACAGAGCAGGUCUCUGCUCUUGUGGGAAGGAGGCAGAAUUUCCUACUUAUCAGUGUGGAUUCUAGAGCCACAAACUUCCAGACUUGGAUCCCAGCUUUACCAUUUAGUGGUUGUGUGUCUUGGACAAGUUACUUAACCUCUUUGUGCUUUAGUUUUCUCAUUUGUAAGAGGAGGAUAAUAUUCUUACUUGCCUUAUAGGCUUGUGAGAAACUGAAGUGCUUAGAACUGAGCCUGUCACAUAGUAAAUUUUCCAUACAGUGUAAGCUUUAGCUUUGAUCAGCUGCUAUUAUUAUAAAGCUUACCAUCUUGUGUGCACACAUAUGGCACGUAAUAGGCAUGUGAGUGAAUAAAUGCGGAAAAAAAUAACAGCUAGUUUUGAGAGAUAAUGGGUAAUGCAAUAGGUGUUAGAUGCACUGGUCAGGGAAGGCCUCUCUGGAAGUUAGAAACUUGAGACAGGACCUGGAUUUUGAGUAGGAGUUGGUCUCCUGGUGAUCUGGGGGCAGAGGACAGCGGGCAGAGGGAGCAGUGCCAACAAUUCACCGAGGCGGCAAAGAACGUGGCAGGUUUGAGGAAGAACUAGCAGAUGAAUGUGGCUCAAGUCGGGCACAAACAGGAGAUGGAGGCCUGUAGGGCCUUUCAGGUCAUGGAGAUGAGGUUUCUUUUUUUUUUUUAUUUGGUAGUGGCAGGAGGAUGGAGUCUCACUCUAUCAUCCAGGCUGGAGUGCAGUGGUGUGAUCUCGGCUCACUGCAACCUCUGCCACCCGGGUUCAAGUGAUUCUUGUGCCUCAGCCUCCUGAGUAUCUGGGACUACAGGUGUGUGCCACCAUGCCCAGCUCAUUUUUGUAUUUUUAGUAGAGACGAGGUUUCACUAUGUUGGCCGGGUUGGUGGUGAACUUGUGGCCUCAGGUGAUCCACCUGCCUUGGCCUCCCAAAGUGCUGGGAUUACAGGCAUGAACCACCGCGCCCGGCCGAGUUUUGAUUUUAUUAUAAGGGUGGCAGGUCCAGCUGAGCGGUGGCGUGAUCUGGUUUCGAAUACGCUGUUCUGGGACACUGAAAGCAUACUUACCUGUACCUAAGUGUGUUUUCAGGAUGAAGUCAAGUGGAGUCCUCGUAGGUUGAGGGUGACAGUGACAACAAAGUGAUGAUGUUGACAACCUUUCACAUAUGCCACUGCGGGAUGGUGGUGGGGCCAAAGGAUUAGACUCCAUGAUGACCUAUGGUCUCCUUUCCAAUGUUGAGAUGCCUAAAGCACAAGUUAGAUGGAAAGAAAACCUAUAACAUCACAAUCAUUUAUAAGUAGGUAUUGAGCAUCACUAAAAAGCCCAGGGUGCUUUAAUUGACAUUUUGGUUUCCUGGAAUUGGGAUUUGAAAGAUUACCUGCUGAGAUGGUUUCCAUUUCUUGUUAACUUGUAAUAUGUGCACAAUUUCUGCUUGAAAAUACCUGUAAGAGACACCACUGAGAGUGAAGCUGUCAUUUGAGGAUGCCUUCUACCUGUUGUACCUUUUGAACAAAGCAAGUGUGAAAGCAUGUAAUUUGAAUUAGGGCAGGUAAUAAAGCUUCUGCUAAUUUACGAUGACACUGCACAGCUUCUAAGUCUUCUUCAUGGUUUACCUGUGCCUUAAGCUAAGUGUGUUUCGAUUAAUUCUUGUAUGUAAUUGAGUUUGGUUCAAAGUCAAACGUGAGGGUAAUUAACUCCAGAACAUGAUCAAAAUAUUUUUUAGCCAUCGACAAACUCAUUAGUGAGAAAGGUCUUUUUUUUGUUUGUUUGAGACAGAGUCCCAGUCUGUCACCCAGGCUGGAGUGCAGUGGUGCCAUCUUGGCUCACUGCAACCUCUGCCUCCCAGGUUCAAGUGAUUCUCGUGUUGCAGCCUCCUGAGUAGCUGGGAUUACAGGAGCACACCACCACACCUGGCUAAUUUUUUGUAUUUUUAGUAGAGACAGGAUUUUGCCAUGUUGGCCAGGCUGGUCUUGAACUCUUGUCCUCAAGUGAUCCACCCUCCUCCGUCUCCCCACAGUGCUGGGAUUACAGGCAUGAGCCACCAUGCCUGGCCCAAAAAAGAUCUUUUAAAUAAAUUUUGUAUGGCCUACAUCUUAGCAUCCCUCAUCCCACUCCGUUUAAAAAAUGGCUAUAUAUAAGUAAUUACAUCAUUUAAGGUAUUGGUGAUGGUUUGCUUAAUUCGUGAAUAUCUUAUGACUUUUACAAUAUCAUCUUAUGUCACAUAGGGGUUGUCUAGGGAGGAGCAGCAAAAAGUCACCACCAGUGCAGAGAGACAUAGCCGAGUUCACCAAAUGUUCCUGGCUUCUUGGCACUCAGAGUAGAACUGGGAUGAAACACUUGCAAAGGACAACUUUGAAGGCACCAACCUAGGAUGAAGCCAUAAAUAAAGACUGUCCUUUGGAAUGGAGAUUCUCCAUCAUUCAGUAGCAACUGACUUCAGCCUGCUAUGCUGUGAGCAGUGCUGUGGAGAGGCGCACACAGUGAGGAACUGAAGCCCCCUGCUGACAGCCAUGCGAAUGAGCUUGGAAGAGUAUCCUUUGGACCAGUCAAGCUGUAGAUGACUGCAGCCCCACUAACACUGCAGAGGUGUGAGAGAUGUUGAGCCAGAACCACCCAGCUAGGCCAGUCUUGGAUUCCUGACCCACAGAAACUGUCAGAUAAUAAAUGCUUAUUGUUUGAAGCCAAUAAGACUGGGGUUACUUGUUACACAGCAAUAAAUAACUGAUACAAACUGGCAACAUAAGGUUGGUUAAUCCAUGCAUCCAUCCAUCCAUCCAUCCAUCCAUCCACCCAUCCACCCAUCCACCCAGCCACCCGCCCACCCGCCCACCCAUCCAUCCAUCCACUCCUCCCUCCCUCCCUUCUUCCCUCCCACUCUCCCUUCUUCCCUCCCACUCUCCCAUUUGCUCACUCUUUAUGCUUUCAACAAAUGUUUGAGGGCCUACUAUUUCCCAGGAACAGUGCAUAGUGAUUAGGAUGCUAAGAUGAUUGCCACAAUCCAUGCUUUGAAGGAGCAAAAUAUCUAGUUGUCUUCAGCAAAACAAGAGUUGAAUUCUACUUUGUUACUUUCAUAGUAUUAAAUUUGAAUUCUAGAAGUAAAUAAGAAAGAUUUUAUUUUUCUGUACCUUUCCUUUUUUAAUAUUCUUCAUGCUAAUUCUGAAAAAGGAACAAUCAACAUCCAUUUAAACCAUAUUUGAUGUAUACUAUAAAACUGAAUUUUAGAUGAAAUUAAUGCAAAGCAUAUUUUAUGGCAUCAGCAUUUAUAAAUUAUGUAAUGCUUUAAGUGGAUUAUUUGUCUUCACUGUUUACAUUUUUUUCCCUGAUUAUAUGAAUUGUUCUGAAAACAAAAAGGUACUAAGGAAUUUAAGAAAGAAAAUGAGACUUGGGUCAAAUAAAUAAUAAUAUUGAUAGAGUGCUUUCUCUAUGCCAUACUCUGUGCUAAGCAAUUUAUGUACAUUUCUUUUAUUAAUCCUCACAAGGAAUUGUAAGUAUUAUCCCUAUUUUAUGGAUAAUGAAACUAAGAUUUAGAAUAAUUAGGAACAAAGUCCAAAAAUCAGUAAGAAUUGAAGGUGAAUUUCAAAUGCAGAACUAAGCUCUUAGCUGCUCUGUUGUGCAUAUGUUUAUAUGGCUGUGUAGUGACAUGCAGUACCAUGCUUCGGGAGUGCAUAGUUUGGCUAGGAGACAUUCACUUAUACCAUCUCCUGUGUGUACACAGAGCCCUUAAAGCGUGGUUUGGCCAAAUUUGUAUCAGAGUAUCAUGGGAGCUGCAAUAGUCAGAACUUUAAAUGGUGUAUCUUAUUAAAUCGUGUACAACCCAAAGGAAAUUUUUUCUACUUCCCUUACAAAGGUACUGAAGAUGAAGAAAAAAGAGUAGAAAAUACCAGGUUAGAGAACUUAACAAAAAUUUACUUUAUCUCAUAACAUUUUGGUGACUGUUAGGAAAGGGGGCUGAGAUGAGUGAGAAUAGGGGGCACCUGUUCUGCUGAGAGGAGAACAAAUUGCCUUUUAUUUAUUUUAUUUUAUAUUUUAUUUUAUUUUAUUAUUUUUUGAGACAGGGUCUCACUGUGUCACCCAGCUGGAGUGUAGUGGCAUGAUCAUAGCUCACUGCAGCCUCCAACUCCUGGGCCCAAGUGAUCAUCCCAUCUCAGCCUCCCAAGUAGCUGGGACUACAGGUGUGAGCCACCACACCUGGACUGCCUUACUUUUCAUCUGAGUAAAAGUGUAGUUGGUAACCACCAGGAGGUAGUAUACUAGUGAAGUGGUUGGGAGAACAAGACUUGAUUGAUUGGCUCUGGCUUUCAUAGGAGCACCGCUGUCUUUCAUAUGUUUAACUUUCAUCAACUUGCUGGAACUCAUUUGAGCUUAUUUUCCAUAUAUAAAAUAAGAAUAAAACAAACAUGUUUUUGUGUUGUUCUGAGGAUUAAGUGUAUGCGUAUAUGUGCCUAAUAAAUGUGGACCGUGAAUAGUUGAGUAUCUGACUGCUUCUCUUGAUGUUUUUCCCCUUGUUGUUCUUCAUCGUUAUUCUUAUUGUUAGCAGCUGAUCUCACCCAGUCCUAGCCCUUCAGGGGGGAUCAUAAUGAUUUUAGCAAAAAUACAUGAUAUUUUGGACUGAAUAGAAACUGCAAAUAAAAGGAAGUGAAAUGGCUCUGGCCGAGUAAAGAUCAUAUAGUGCCUACUGCCCAGAAGUUGUUUACAUAAUAGAAACAAAGUUAAAAGGAAUACCUAAUUAAUUAAUUUAUUAUAAUUUUAAUAAAGGAAGAAACAUGUAUAUGUCACAGGCAUAUGUCUUAGACAUAGGAACCUGACUGCAUCAGAAAAUAUUUAAAACUACCAAGAUGUAGUCAAUUAACCAGCAAAAUUUCUUCUGCUGGACAUUUUCUAAAAUAUAUUCUCUGCUCCUUUCUCGCAAUAGUUAACAAUUUGAAUUAGCAACAAUGGCUUUAUGUUAUAAACCUCUUUCCACGGUCUUCUCUCCUUCACCUUCUUUUCUGCUGCUAGUGUGUGUGGACUUCUUGUCUGCUGUCUUCUGUCCCUGUCAGUUUUUCAAAUGAGAGAUAAGAACUGCUUUGCAAUGUGAGGUGGCAGAAUUAGGGACCAGUCAGGCUGCCAGGCUGGAGGAAGGUGGGCCUGAGCAAGCCUUGCCCAAGCACCUCCUUUCUUAUUUCCUAGAAUAGUCUGUUGCCCUUUGCUAGUUCUCUCAUCCCUGGCUAACAGCUUGUCCUAUUUGCCUUUGGAUUUUAUUAUCUGCUCCUUCUUGCUGAGGUACGACAUGAUUAUUAAGUGUGCCCAAGAGGAAACUCCAUUGAGCUCUUGGGGUGAAGCAGCGUAAGAAGUUUGCUCCUUAGGAAAAAUAAAAAUCUUAACUGGUUCUGGUCCUUGGUCACUGGUACAGAGGUGGAGAGAAGUAGAGCUGGUUAAAGUCCAGGGAAGUGUGUCAGGCAGGAAGCUGGGAGGGCUUCUCCCAGCAGGGUGCAGGAAGGCUUCUGUGUCUUGUGGAAGUGAUGAUGUGCCCGAGUCUGCUUCACGAGUCUUUGUAGAUGAUAACAGGGCUCCUGUGAGCCCUCAGGUUGUUCACAGUUUGUUUUCUUUGAAUUGCGUGAAAACAUGUGCUUGACUUGGAUGUAGAUUUUAUUUCCUUUCAGGGUGGAGGGUUGCAGACAGUAGAAGAUGUUGGCUGCCAGCUUGGAGUGACUGCCAGGGACAGCUGAAAGGGGAAAUUUAACGAGAAUGUUGAGGCCUGAAGUGCUUCAGGGAGCAUUUCAAAUUGCAUCUCUUUAGAAUCAGAUGGUCUCCAGAGAUCAUAAUGGGUUAUGAGAGGUGCCAGGGUUUGUUUUCUUCAGGCUCAACAUCACUUAAGACCAUAAUCCAUAGACUCUUAAGGAAUGAAGCACAGUUCUACAUUGGACCCACCUUCUUCAAGGAUCUGAGGCUUAGUGGACCUUUUAAAUAAUGAUUCAUCAAAUGUCAUAGUUCAUGGUUUUAUUUAUGUAUUUUUGAGACGGAGUCUCGCUCUGUUUCCAGGCUGGAGUGCAGUGGCACAAUCUUGGCUAACUGCAGCCUCUACCUCCUGGGUUCAAGUGAUUCUCCUGCCUCAGCCUCCCGAGUAGCUGGGACUACAGGCGCCCGCCACCAUGCCUGGCUAAUUUUUGUAUUUUUAGUAGAGAUGGGGUUUCACCAUGUUGGCCAUGAUGGUCUCAAUCUCUUGUACCCGUGAUCCGCCCACCUCGGCCUCCCAAAGUGCUGGGAUUACAGGCAUGAGCCACCGUGCCCAGCCUAUUUAUUUAUUUUUUAAAACUGAUCUAUCUGUAGUUUUAGAAUGCAGCUGAUCCUUAGCCACACUGUGGCAAGUAUUCAUUAUUCUUUCAAUGUUCUCUUGGUGGCAAAGCCAUGACCAUUGAGACUUAAUGUAUCUGACUCUUGCUAUAAACAUGCUGUGUAACAAACUUCCCUGGAACCCAUAACCUGCAACAGCAAGGAUCUCAUUCUCUCAGUCAUAGCUUUGUAGGGUAGCUUUACUUAGGGUGUGGGUUGGCUGGUGUUGGCUCCAGAGUGUGGGGUUGGGUUCAGGUUUGUUCCAUUUAUUUCUGGAGUAUAGGGAUGCUGUAAAGAAUUGUGAGCAAUGGUUCAGUCCACCAUACCAUAUUAAGCUUUCUUGAUUCUUUUUUUUUUUUUUUAACAAAAUUGUAAAGUAUACCUGACACAAAAUUUACCCUUUUAGCCACUUUUGCAUGUACACUUCUGUGGCAUUAGUUAUGUUUAUAUUGUUGUGCAGUCGUCACCACCAUUCCUCUCCACAACUUUUUCAUCUUCCCAAACUGAAACUCUUUAUCGAUUACAUAUUAAGUCCCCACUUCCUGGUACCCCCGAUCCCUGGCAACCAACAUUGUAUUCUAGCUCUAUGAAUUUAAUUAUUCUUGGUACCUCAUAUAAGUGGACUCAUAGAGUAUUUGUCCUUUUGUGAUCGGCAUAGUUCACUUAGCAAAAUGUCUUCAAGGUUAUUCACGUUGUAGCAUGUGUCAAAAUAGUGUUCUUUUUUAGAGCUUAAUAAAUAUUCUGCCAUGUAUGCACACCUCGAUUUGUUUAUUCAUUCAUCUGUUGAUGGACAGUGGGUUGCUUCUGUUUCUGCUCCUUUCUCACUGAGUUCCCAUUUUUCCUAUGGGUGGAACCAUCUGAGUUGGUUUAAUGACUUUUGCCAACCAAGACCCUGAGCCCAAUCCUAUUCAUUCCUUUAUUCAGCAAGUACUUAUUAAGCCCCCAUGGUAUGCUGGCAACUGUUCUAAAGGAGCUUAAAUGCUCUCAGUACUUAGAGCUGUGCUGUUAGGUGGUCGAGGGUUACAUGUGUCUAUUUAAAUUUAAUUAAUGAAAGUCAAAUAAAAAAUUUUAAAAUGCAGUUCUUCGAUAAUAGGAGCUGUAUUUCAGGUGCUUAAUAGCCCCAUAUGGCUAGUGGCUGCUGUUUUGGACAGCACAUGAUGGAUAUCUUCUUGCAGAAAGUUGUGUUGGACAGUACUGACUUAGAGGGUUUAGGGAAAGCCCUAUAGCAGUGGUAAAGAGCAACAACUCCUUAAACCACAAGCUUAUGAAGGGGUCACCUUGUGAGUGCAAGCGUGCUCUAGUUAUUCAGCCACAUUUGAGCCAAAAGCUAGGCAGUCAGCGUCCUUCCCCAGCACUUGGGAAGGUGAAUGAGCAAGCAGUUCAGUUUCUCCCAGGUCAGUGGCAAUUUUAUCCCCUAGGGAGCACUUGGCAAUAUCUGGAGAUAUUUUUGGUUAUUGCAACUACGAGGAGGGGGAAUGGAGGCCAGGGAUGCUGAUAAACAUUCUACAAUGCACAGGACAGCCACCCCCCAGCCCCUAACACAGAACCAUACCAGCCAAAAUGCCAGUACUUCCAAACUUGAGAAAUAACUCCGCUCCCGGUGAAAUGGUUACAGAUAACAGCUAGGAACUGUGAGAGCAAUGUUUUGUGGCAUGUGGAAGAAGCUACUAUUGUACAGUGAGAGGAAAUGAAGUCAUGAAGAUGGAGAGACUCCCCACGGUGUUCAAGUCUUCACUUCCCUUGUUCUCCAGACCAGCCUCAAUUCUUCCCUUGGGUUCUAUGAAGGACCUCAGUAUGAUAAUAACUUUACUCUUUCGCUUGAAUUACUCUGAGCUGAGUGUUAGCCUUUUGCUAAAUGUUCCUAAUACAGCAAAUUACGUAGUCCUUCUUUUGAUUGUAUCCCAUGUAAAACUUGGUCUACAAAUAUGCUCUCUGACUACCUUGGAUUUAAGGUCGUCUCAUCAAAUGUUUAGCAUACGAUAAGCAUUUAAUUGCAUGAAACUUACAGGGAUGUUAUGACUAAAUUUCAAACAAACCAUUACAUUUCCUAUGAAUAAAAGUUUAUUUUAAAUGGUCUUAUGUAGAAUAUUCGUAUAUAUGUAAUUUAAAGUGAGAAAACUGUGUAGAAUUAAAAAAUUCAAUCAUAAUAAAAAAGGGUAUAGAGUGAAAA